UUUUUUUUUUUUUUUUUUUUUUUAGUUUUUUGCUUAAAUUUCUUUUUAUGCCAAGUCUAUCCAUAAUAGUGGUCUAGUUGGAAGAUUACGAAAAAAAAAAUUAUGCGUUCUAAAAUUACAACUUUCAACUCUUAGCUGGCUUACUGGGUCCUAUAUAUAUAUAUGUACUCUUGUAUAUUCCCAUUACAUGCAUUUUCCAAAGGGGUAAUUUCAGAAACCUCCCUCGAGGUUUCUAACAAUUUCAUCUAGUACUUUUGAGGUUUUCAAUAUUACACUUACCUCCCUUGAUCCUAUAAAAUGACUAUAAUAAACUUAAUAUAUUAAUAUUUUUCAUGCAAUUAAAUAAUACGCUCCUAAUCUUGUGCAUAGAAAUGCACCACACAAUUAAAUAGUCAAUGGAAACAAAAACAAGAUCACUUAUAGAAUAACUAAUUAUGUCCUAAACAUAAUUCUAACAUAUUACAAAUUAAUUUUAGCUUGGCUUGAAAGAUCUAAAGAUGAAUAGAAAAAGAUAUAAGUUGAAGAUUUAAAUAUAACAGGCAUGAAUUGGUACUCCGAUAUUUGAGGGAUGAGAUGUUAUAUUAAUAUAGUUAGUGAAAUUUUUUAAGUUUAACAGUACUGAUUUUUUUUUCUUUUGUGACUUAGAUUGAGAUUUUAGAAUUUAAGCACUAAUGGCAGCGGUGGUCAUGAUGAUAAUGGCACUAAUUUGAAAUGUACGAAUAUGAAAGUUUAAAAUAAUAGAGAUGAAAGCGGAAAGUGGGUUUGAGAUUUUGUGCAUAUUUCAUACUUUUUUUUAUAGAAUUUUAUAAGAAGGUAAAAGGAACUUCACAAUUUCAUGAGGGCAAUUUGGGUUAUUCAUUCAAAAUUUUGACCAUUGAAUAGUUUUUUUUAACCAAAAUGGUAAAUUCAAGGGAGAUAUGUGUAAUUUUUAAAACUUUAGGGUACUAAAUGAAAUUGUUAGAAACCUCAAGGGAGGUUUCUGAAAUUAUCCCUUUUCCAAAUUUCAAUCUCCAGUAGUGCCCAACUUUCCAGUCUAUUCAUUGAGCAUGAAUGACGGCCCAUCAUCACCACAAAUUGUUGAAAAACAAUUCUCAGCUCGUGAUGCUGACUGCAUGGAAUUGACCAGAAAAAUCCCAAAACGACAACCUCAUCUCCUUUAAAGUCAAAAUAAUCCAAUCAAUGGAAAUAACAGGCUGGACUCCUUAAAAUCUUGAAUACUCGCAGGACCCAUUUCUUUAUUCAUCCAACUCGGACCACUGCCUAUAUUGUCCCACUUCUUCCAUGCGGAUGACUUGCAAAUUUCCGUCCUCCAUCCAUAAAGGCACUUACCAACUGUAUAUUCUUCCAUUGAUGAUCUCUUAAGUCUACAUUCUGAAUUGGACUAGGAGAAAAGGAUUGCAAAGAGUUGAAUACAUAAUAUCCAAUUUAUUCCGUGAAUUUAUGUACGACAGUGUAAGUAUUAAUACCCUUUUCACAUGUACAAAUUCUUCGUGUUUACUCAUAAAGGAGAAGCUCCCAUUUCAUGUCUUGCACUAUUUAGUUCUUAUAUUUUAAAUAAGAUUGCAAAAGCAAGCUUUUUUUUUUUUUUUUUUAUCUUCUCAGGAUUUGAGUAAUGUUCAUCUCAGGACCAUGAAACGUCUAUUGAAGUAUGGAUUGAAUCUUACAAGUGUAGAUGCUCGACUUUAGCUGCAGAUCAUGAUGGUGUCCCCAAACCAUAGAGCCUACUCAUGCCUUAACAUGCUCAUGCUCAUUUGUAAAGGGACAUCCAAGUGUCUUGUCCCUUUGCACCGACUUCACUCUUAGGCCAAAUGCAUCCCUUGCAUAGUUAUAAUCCAAUAAAACAGAUACAACAAUGAUUCAUCAAUGUACAAUAUCUGGAAAGGUGAAGUUGGUAGAUUGAAGAAUAGGUUCCAAUCUUGGUAACUAUGAUUUAAGUAUAGCUGAAAUUCAUGAAACCAACUUUCUGUGUCAAGGUGAAGUUGGUAGAUUGAAGAAUAAGUUCCAAUCUUAGAAACUAUGAUUUAAGUAUUGCUGAAAUUCCUGGAACCAACUUCUGUGUCCCAAAAGUGUAGUUACAACCGUAUUUAAUUAAUUGUAACCCUACAUAACUCAAGUAUGAGGACAACGGACCUCUUUUGGGAGGCUUACUUUCGAUUGAUUGAAAAGUUGAUAAAAAAAAAUACAAAGUCGAGAUUUUUUUUUUUUUUUUUUUAAAAAAAGUGAACAUGAAAUGCGGAUUAGGGGUGCUAUUGAGUCGAUUCGAGCUCAAGUAUCAUUAUACUCGAGUUCAAACUCGAUUAAUACUAGUGCUAUUCGAGGUUGAACUCGAACGAGUACGUAACAUUAAACUUGAGGCAAACUCGAGAGUUGUAAUUAAGUUCGAACUCGACUUGAUUGAACUUGAGAAUAUUGCGAGUGUUUUGAGCUCGAGCUAUUCGAGUUCAAGUUUGAUUUUUUGCUAAGACAUGAACCCAUAAUAAUAAUUUCAUAAUUAAAAAUUAUAUGUAUUUUAUAAAUAAUACAACUACUCAAUUAAACUCAUUGAGCACUCAAGUACUAAAUUCUUAUGUUCGGACUCAGACUCGCUAUAUAAAUCGAGCAGAUCGAACUCAAGCACAAACUCGAACUUUGUUUGACUGAGUUCAUGCCGAGUAUUUGACCAAGUUGCUCGCCCACACCCCUAAUACAGAUUAAGCUCACUUAGAUUUAAAGAUUAUUUUUGGAGUUUCCAAUAUGUCACCAAAAGAAAGUUGAUUAACUUGGAAUUAUACGAUUUAUGUACCCAAAAAAAAUAAAAAAUUCGGCUAACACUUUUCCAAUUCGCCAAGUCUCAAAUAGAAGUAUAACGCGAACCCAAAUUAGCAUAUAUACAAUUAAUUCCUUUUAAAAUAAGAAAGUGUCUCCAAAAAAACAAAGUAAUUGGCAGGCCCCAUCUGCUUAAAGGAAACAUCCAUUGAUCAGACUAUCAUAUUAAUCCACUCACGAGGCAUGUUGAACAAUUCAGUUACACCAACAUAGGGCCACCCUUUCAUACCCAAAAAAAUGCAAAAGCAUGUAGACGGCCACAUUUUCCAGCUGUACAUUAGCGGCCAAUAGUGCACUGAGUAAUUUUGUAUGAUUUGUGCAUGUUAAGUGCCAUUUUUUGAACCCUAUUGAACUUGUUAACAUGGAAGAGAAAGAACUUUAAUGCAGGAGAGGGACUACGAAAAGACAAAAGGUCUGCAAUAAGAGCAUGAGACAACAUUCUUUGGGCAAAUGCACACGUGAAAGAUACAACUACUAAAAUCUUUCAGUCUAUGCCAGAUCCACCCACAUUUCGUCCCUUUCAACUGAAAGAAUGUGAAGCUUGCAUUUUGCAUAUUACACGAGAACCUACAGUAGGAUAUGAGGCAAUAGUACAGGACAUUCCAAUUCCUCUAGAUUGUGGUUUGACAAUUUCUCCCAUAAUGUCAACAAAUGGAGCCUAACUUUUGCAAGUUUGAGGUAAGGAAAAAAAAGAAUAUCACUCGGAACAAAUUACAUUCACAAAAUUUUACAUUAUUCUCAUUCAGAAGACACAGGUAAUCUUUCCAAAGUGUCAAAGACAUGCCUCAUUGAUGGUCUUCUAUCAGGACUAGUUUGUAUGCAUGCCAUUGCAAUCUUCAGAACCGCGAUCAUCUCCUCUUCUUUGUCAGCAUCGUCAGCUAAAAAGGGAUCUAAAACAUCGGAUAGAGGUUUUUUCUCUUCAAUGCAUAGCUGCAUCCAGUGAACAAUGUCUAUUUCAGAGGUGCCUACCUGCACUAGAGGUGAUUUUCCAGUAAUCAUUUCCAGCAGUAUCACGCCAUAUGAGUAGACAUCCCACUUCUGUGAUGGCUUGACCACUUUCAGUGACUCCGGGGCUUGGUAAAAGGACCCAAUACUUGCAGCGGAAGCAACUGUGCCAACUUCCGAAGGUGCACUCCCUUGUUGCCUUUGUUGUGGCUUCUCUGAGAUCAUUCGACUUGACUGCAGGGUUGGGGAUCCUCCGGCAAUGUUAGCAAGACGUCCAAGUCCAAAAUCAGAAAUUUUAGGUUCCAUAUUUUGACCAAGCAAGAUAUUAGAUGGUUUGAGAUCUCCAUGGACAUACUUCUUGGGACUAUACUCAUGCAGAUAAACCAAGCCUUUUGCAAUUCCUUUCAUUAUCUUCAAGCGCAUAGACCACGACAGAGGAGUAAAGGAUACCAUUCCAGGCUUUCCUGGGAACAAAGUUCACAUAUGAAGAAUUUGAAGACAAGAUGAGCAACACUGUUAAGAAGAAAUAUUGAAAAAUAAGAAUAAUUCGCUCCGAGUUGUGAAGUGUUAAACUUACCAUGAAUUGCAGCAGUAAGGUUUCCAUUUGGAAUGUAAUCAUAUAUCAGUAGCUUCUCAUCCACAGACCAAUAAUAGGCUCGGAGGGUUACUAUAUUAGGAUGCUUUAGCUUUCCAAUUGCUUCAACUUCAGUCUGAAAUUCUUUAAAUCUUUGUGAACCACCUUCACCAAGUCUUCUCACUGCUAAAACAUGCCCAUCUUCAAGCACGACCUUAUAUACAAUGCCAAUACCACUCUUGCCUAGCACAAAUGCAGAUGCCUUUAGAAGCUCGUCUAGAUCAAAUGCCACCUGAGUGUCAAGUGGCACUAGAUCAUACUGCUCCACAUUUUCUGAUAAAGUUUCUGAUUCAUCCUUCCUAAAGCAUAAACACUCCUUCCCUCGCUUGCCUCCCUUCUCAAAACCAUAGCCAUCAACCCUCCUUUUGCCACAAGGACACAUCUUUGAAUAACAAUACGAAAACAGCAAGCCAACCAUGCAAAUUCCAAUCACAUCACACACAACAAUUGCAAUUACAGCACUUUUACUGAGCCCUCUUCCUCUGCUACCAUUCUCAUCCGUCCUUUGUGGAGGGUAGUUAUUAGGCAAGGAAGGAUAUGAAGAUGGCGAACUUGGUCCACUGUCUGAACAAGGAUCUUUCAAUGGAGGGCCACAAAGGCCAGGGUUUCCAAUAAAAGCAGUUGGCCCUCUGUUAAUUAGAGCACCAUUUUGUGGAAUAGGACCACUUAAUUUAUUAUAGGUGAGAUCAAUAUAAACCUUCUCAGGAAGAUUACCUAAGCUAGGAGGGAUUGAGCCAUCAAACAUAUUAUGAGACAAAUCAACAGUUCCUUGUAAAUUAGUUAAAUUUCCAAGAUCACUAGGAAUUGAACCGCUAAAGUUGUUAUAUGCAAGAUCAAGUUUUUCCAACAACACCAAAUUAGUCCCAAAUCCAUGAGGCAAAGGACCAGUAUGAUUAUUGUGACUAAGGUCAAGGAAACUCAAUCUUUUACAUUGAACAAAAGAAUCAGGCAGUGACCCAUUAAAGAAAUUCUCAGACAAACCUAGAGUUUGAAGGUAACUAAGCUUCCCUAUUUCAGACGGUAUCGGCCCAGAAAAGAAAUUCCCAAAAAGAACCAAACUUUUCAGCCCCUGAGCUGCAAAGAGCUCACCAGGUAAGCUGCCAAAUAACUUGUUAUUCCUUAAAUUUACGUGUCUAAGCUCAGGUAAAGAUCCAAGAGAAGAAGAAAGAAACCCAGUGAGUUUCUUCUUAGGAAUGCUAACAGAAACAACUUUCUGGUCUUUGCAUGUUAUACCAUUCCAAGAACAGGGGGUUUCAUCAGAAUGGUUCCAACUGUUCAUGGACCCUUCAGGGUCUUGCUGAAUGGCAUUCUUGAAUGACAUAAGCGCAAAUCCUUCAUUGUUCAAACACCCCACAAAACCAUGAAAACUAAAUAGACUUAAAAUGAACAAAAUUACAGUACUAUUAUCUAACAUUUCCAAGAAAAGUGACCGUUGGAAAUGUGUAAAAAAGGAUGUGUUUUAAAGGGCUUACCUUUGUACACCAGGAAAUCGAGUUGUUGCAGAGAAAGCUUAGAGAAGAACUGGGACUUGAGAGAACGUGAAGGAGAGAAAGAAAGGUCUGACAGGAAGUACUACUAUUGAGAGCAGAAAAAAGAGUGAUGGAGAAAGGUAAAGUUGGUUUCAGCUAGCAGAAGAAAAGAACAGGCAAUAUUAUUGAUUCUUUAGGGGGAAAAUGAAAAAUGGGAAACAAACGAAAGAGAAGGUUGGUGAGAGAAUCUAAGCAAACAAAAAUGAAAACGGAGUAAAGUUUUGUAUAACUAUUGAGGAUGUAUAUUAUUGCAAGUCAAUAAUGUAUGGCUAUAUUUGGAGAGUGACAUUUUCCCUUUUUUUUUUUGGGAAUGGUUAUAGUUUAGCAUUAGGCGCGCUCCCAAAAGCAAAAGUUCUUUGCACGAGCUCAUCACGUAUUCAAUAAUCAAUACUCUACAUGUAUAAAGCAUUUAAUGUUUUUCCAUGCACACAAUCCAAUAAUCAAUACUUUACAUACAAAUGCUUUCGGGGAUGAUUCUUUUCUUUUAAAGAUCAAUAGUGAGAUUUCUCUUAACUUUUUUUUUUUUUAUGACUUCAACUUAGAACAUAUCAAUUACAAGUGAAAUACAUUACCAAUUAAACUCCAUUUCAUUAUCAAACGGAAACGAUACAUCCCUAUGGACAAAUGAAUUAUAUAUAGUCUAUUACUAGUACACAUGCAUGUAGUUGUAUCUUUCUGUAUUUUUACUUUGAACAUCAUUUUGUGAAUUUGUGUAUGCAAUCAAACUGACAUUUGUGUGUGUGUGUGUGUGUGUGUUUUUUUUUCUUACAUUAGAUGAAAUGUCUUUAAAAAGAAGGCAAAUUUCAAUCAGGUUUAGCCCAGAAGUAAACAACGUUAGCAUGGAGUAAAAGAAACAUUUGACAGUCUGGAUUUGUGUUAAAACAAAAAAGUCCCAGUCCCCUAGGACCGUUGAGGGAGGACAUUGUGCAAUGAGUACAGUUAAUAUUAAAUUCACCAGGGAACUCCUUCCCAGUAGUUGCUUUGGUUCCUAUAAUCAACCAACCUUUUUGACUGCAAAUGGUCCAAUGAAUUCAAUAUCAAAACAUGCUAAUCUAAGCCAGCUGCGCUUAGAUUACCACAUAAUAGAGUAUUAGUAUUCCUAGUCCUAAAGCUGUCCCAAAAUUGUACAGCAGUGCCCACCGCAGGUGAGAACCAAUAGUGACUUUCCUGCUAUGCCUGUGACAUCCUUGUCCCUCUAUCUGUAGUACAGUAGCUGGGGUGCAAUGAGAGCCACUACAAUAUCAGUGAAAAUUACACCUAUAUAGUUUAGAUAUUAAAGCAAUAAAUGUAGGUAUGAAAAUAAUAAGUGUAGACAUGAAUUAUAAUUUUUGAACACAAAUUUCAACAAAUAUGAAUUUUUUUUUUUUUUGUGUUUUAUGCAAUUGUACUAGCAUACGCUCCAGAGAUAGUCUAGUGGUAAAACAGGCUUUGGACUGAAUAAAGUUCGAGGUUCGAAUUUUUCCUUAAUCUUGAAUCUCUCUUGUCUAACUUGGGUGCAUCGUGGGAGGUCGCGGCGUAUCUCCUAAUUUGAUGUAUCGCUCAGAUCUUAAGUGGCUCGAGUCAAGGUAUAUUCUAAAUAAAAAAAAUUGUAUUAGCAUACAUUUAUUACUUUAGUGCCUAUAUUUGUUUGGCUAGUAUUUAUUUCUACAGGGCUAAAACAAGAAAGUGGGGAUGCAUUGACUGACAUGUGGGCUAAGAAUGAAAGUAGCCGUUUGUCAUGAUGUAGCUGAGAAUUUUUAGAUAGGGAAGUAGAAUAUAAAAUAAUUAAAGAAAUCACACCAUUUAAAGAUCAUUUAAUUAUUCUUCGUGCCCAGAGAGUAAAUAAAAGUUAUUCUUUGCUGUUAAGAAAAAUAAAAUUGUGUUUCUUUUCCCCUCAUAACUCAAUCUAUAAUUAUCAAUUCGUGAUUAUUACGCUGUACCAUUGAAAGCUACCAGAGGACCAAUUCAAAGCCGUUGCAGGAAUGGGAUGAUGAUGCCAAGGACUCAAGAAUGAGCUUUUGAAUAAGGAUAUUCUAUCUUGUAGCUCCAAUAACGAAAGAAACCAUCCAUUAUCAUGCAAAGAAUGCGUCCAUAAAGGGUUUCUUUUUUUGGGUCAAAAUAAAACUAUUAUAUCUUUUAGGGAAUGUACACUUAAUGCUGAAUUUAUAAUGUAGUAAUCCAUACGAAUAAAUUUUAUACUGACAUUUGUAUCCAUGAUAUAUGUGUAUGUUGAAUUUUAAAUUCAAAAUUUGUAUAGUUAUUAUUCAUCUAAGUAUUGAUCGUGUAUACAUUGUCAGUAUAUAAAAAAAAUUAAUUCAUCAUUUUUUUUGAAACCGAUAAUUUUCUUUUCGUUUGUCAGAAAGAUUCAAGCCACUUGAUCAACAUCACCAAAUUAAUUUCCUUUACAAUAUGGUAACUAAAUUAAUUUACUAAAGUGCUACAAUUCUUACACUGAAGAGUACCAACUAUAUAUAUAUUUUUUUGGCUGUGAAAUAAUCAACACAUCGGCAGAUAAAUAUGGUGGAAUCUGGAAAGGUAAACCAAACAACUAACAGAGCCCAGAAGACGAACUUCCUAUCUAUUAUCUAGCAACAUACCAAAGCGAAACAGAGAACCUAAGGGAAAUCAAAUCAUGAGGACUACUUUAAUUUUAAUACGCUAAGCUUCAGGUACUCUAAGUAACGACGAGAAGGGAAAAACCAGCUCCAUCUUUGUCACGCCAGUUGACUUGGAAAUUUUAACGAAGACUUGUGGAAAAUUGCUGGUUGGUCCAUAUGAAAGGCAGGAAUUUUCCAUCCCAAUUUCCACGACGACUUAAACCACAGAAAGACUUGACUCGUUUGACUCUUCAACAAAGAAAGUGCACUUCACGUUUUUGAACCACAGAACUCUAACCUUAUGUGGACCUCAGAAAUUUGUAUAGAUGGUUUUAACAACUCUGUUUCAGGUCCUCUUGAUUGAUCAUCGAGAAUUGAGUUCUGAGAUCAGCUAAUUGGAUGUGUGAUUUCAUCUCUACCUAAUUUUAUAUCAUUGUUCCGUAAUAAGAAUCAGUCAAGACACAUUCAGAAAAAGUUGCAGCUGUAUAGGUGACUUCAAAACCAGGAAGUUUCUUGUUUACAUUUUUUGAGUAUUUUUUUUUUUUUUGUUUUCCCAUACUGGUCCCUGGAGAAGGCAUGGAGAUUAUUUGAAACUGUCCCUUCUCCCUAAAGUUCUCAAGGACUUGACUGAUGUAGUGUGGCUUAUGGCACCCAUCCUUGCCCACCGGGGGCCAAAAUCAAAAGCAAAAGAAGAAAUAGACACAAAGGUAACAAGAAAAGAAUUCCUUGUCAAUUUCAUGCAAAUCUGUCACAAGAAUUGAUUUUUAGCAGCCAAUCAUGCACCUAAUCUCCACAAUCUCUAUACCACUAGCUAGAUAACAUUUCUAGAUUGUGGAACGUGGAACACAACCUGCCCCAACAAAAUUAAAUGGCUAUGAAAAAGAAGGAAGAAGUGAAACAGAAAGAAACAUUCUUGAUCAAUAAAAUUAGCAGAAUCAUGAUUGCCAAGGCCAGAAAAAAGCAAGUUGCAGCCUAAUUAUGUACCCUUAACAAGCACAAAAUGAUGAUGUUUCUAAUGCCAUAUAAAUGAGCAAUAACUUGUUGAUGUUAGUAAACCAUAUGCUUCUUUUUAGCAGGAGUAAGACGACGUGUUUCUAACUCUUCUUAAACCCUAAUCCAUUGAUUUUUCCUACGUUUCUGACUUCUAACUCAAGGAAGAAGGAUGGUCUUUCUUUCAUUCAUUCAAGAAUUGGCAUUAGAGGGAGCCUCAAAUCAACUUUCACGAAUUCACAUGACUUUCACUGUUUGGGCUCCUAAUAAAGAUAUUUGUGAGGGAAAGGCACUAACUUGGGAGGCAACUAUAAAGGAAGCACAACUAGUUAAGACAGAUGAAAAUUGUUAGAAAUUCUAUCAUCACUGCAAUUCCUUUUGUAGGGCUGAGCAGUGCAGAAACAAACCAUUUCAUUUCCUUCCAACCCAAAAUAACCACUUCUUUCACAUUCUUUGCAACUAUUUCCACUCCAUGUAAGUGUAAAUCCAUUUUCCAACAACUUUACGCAGUCUAAAUUCUCUAUUGAUGAAUUAUUUGUCCCUCCUUCCAGGUCAACUGGUGCAGCAACAUGAGACUGACAAGGCAUUACACUAGAGUUGAUCUCAAUUUUUCCAUCUUCUAUAACAGCAUAAGAGUGGUACGGAGUAUCGGAAGCACAAAAUGAUGGGGUGCUGCCUAUAUUCAACUCAACAGGAAAGGAGCUGUUUCAAUCGUUAAACAAGCAGAGAUUGGCAAAAUUGUGGCCAAAUUUGACUGAAGACCGAUCAAAAGCAAAAAGUUCCCGGGGAGCAAUACAUGCAGCAUUCAGAACUUCAGCAUUCACCAACCGGAUGGAUUGGUUUUGGUAGGUGGCACUCAAGAACGUACUCACUUCGAGAUGUUAAAUAAACAGGUUUGUUUCCUUUUCAGGAUAACUCAAACCCUGGAUAACCACAACAAUCUGGAUAAUUUUCUUCUAUGAUCUGGACAGUGUAGCUUAUCUGUGGACCAUUUUCACAAUUUCUAGACUUGCAGGCUUUGUAUCUCCUGCCCACUGGUUCAACUGACUCUACCAAGAUAAUGUGCACCAUAAUAGACAUGACUCUAACACGAAAGACAGUGCUGAUUCUUAGCAAGCUGAGCUGAGCCAUUACUAGAGUGGAAAGGGUCUGUACCAUAUGAUAUCUAAGACGUAUAUAAUAACAUCUGAGCUAAAUUCAAAAUAAUUCAAGUCACCUUCAAUGGUUAGCAUUUUUGGUUUCUUACCAAAGUUUUUACUAACUUUGACAUGGUUUUGUUGUCUCAUUCUUGCGGCACUAUUAAACAAAUCUAGCAUUUUUAUGCCUCAAUUGUAUUCCUUUACCCUAUCAGGGAUCAGGGGUGGCUUAAACAUGUCACUUGAUUUUGAGUCCAUUACAAAAAAAAAAUCGUGCUCCAGACUUCAGACGUAGAAUUAUAUCUUACUGCAGAAGCAGAUAAGCCAUUUUCGCAGCCAAAAAAAGAAAAAGAAAAUAAAAACAGUAAAUACCAUUCAUAUCUUUGAUAACAAUAUGGGAUUGGCUAACUGAAUGCGAUUCAUAUCUUGAUAGGCAGAAAUUGUAAGCUAUUAUGUCCCCUAAUGUAAAAGAGAGAAUGGUAAAGGAUGGAGACUGGGCGAGCGAUUGUGUGUGUGUUUGCGUGUGGAAUUUAUUUUUCCAGGUUGACCUGGUGGAAGCUGGAGUUGACUCCAUUUUCUUCCAGAUUAUGUUGAAUAGCAUGUUUUGUGAAACUGCUAACAGAUUGCAGCAGUUAGUUGUUCACGUUGCUAUUUUUAGGCAAUAGAUAAGUCAAAGUAUUUGAUAUGAUUUUGAUUCUAGAAUCUUAUCUCUAGCAGAUUUUUUUCCAGAUUUUCUCUAAUUCUGUUUUGUUUAUGUUAUAUAAAAGCAUGGCUUAUGACUCAAUAAAAAUCAGACUUCUGCAAUACAAAAGUAUUCACUCUUGCUUUACCUUUUUCUGCUCUAAUACCCAACAAAGUGGUACCAGAGCUCUCAUCUUGAGGGAUGAUAGGGUGUUAAUUGUUAGCAAUUUUAUUGUUAAUUUCCCCUUUUAUCCUUGCCAAAUAUUAUUUUAAUUAUUAAUAUUUACUUAUAUUUGGUAUUGGACCCAAUUUCAGGGAUUGAAGAAGAAAAUUACCAAAAAGGAGGGACUUGUAUGGAAAAAUGCAGACUUCUAAGGGCUUCAACCUUUGGGUCCUUGAAUUGGUGGGGACCACAAUCUAGUGCAAGGCAUUUAGUCAUUUGGGUUUUUCAAAGAAAGCAACGUAGAGAGACUUGGAACAACAAGUACUUUGGAGAAUUUGUCCACAUGUGCGGGGACCACGGAUAAGAAGCAUGAGUCAUUUGGACUCUAGGAAAAGAAACGUACAAAGCUUGUGAAAUGGAAUUGGACUUUGAAUUUGGUGUGGGGACCACUAGAGAUAGCAUUAGACUUCCUUUUGGCUUUAAAAAGGGAAAAACGUACGAGAGGGGGAACACACGAGUUUUAGGCUUUUAGUUUAGUUUUUAGUUUUCUUUUCUUAGCUCUUUCGCAUGGUUGUUCUCCAUUAAUGGAGGACUAACCUCUUAAUUCUAGUCAAGGGGACAACUGAAGACUUGGUUCAACAAUUACUGUGAGAUUUAAUUUAUUUUAAUUGCUUCCUUAAUUUAUUGGUAUUUAUAUGUUUCCUGCUUUUAAUUGCUAUAGCUCGUGUGAGUGAUUGAAUAGAUGUGCAAUAUUUAAUUAUUCACAUAGGCUAUUUUGCUAAAUAGGGAUAAUUGAAUCCGUAAUUGUUCGUUAUCUUUAUCUCAGUAGCAACUGGCGUAAUUGGGUUUAUGUCAGGGGAACAUACGAUCUAACUUAAACAAACCCUCGUAGCGUGUUUGUUAGUUAGGAUUGGAUCUUUCUAAUUAUUAAUGCAAUCUAGAAAUUAAACCCUACGGUCGUACCUAGGCUUGUUUUUGGGUUAGAGAAAUAGUUAACGGUCGUACCUUAACUAUCGAGAAAGUAAGGAAAGGUUGGUUGUUUAUCGCGUGCAGGGCAACUAUAACUAAUCUAUUAAUAAAUUUGAAAUUAUCUGUGAAUCAAUGAUCAGUGCCUGAACCAUUUCUGAAGUGUACCCUUGGCUAGAGUUUUCCCUUAAUUAUUUCUUUUAAUCAAUUAUUUCCUGCAGUUAAUUUAUUUAGUUGGCAUUUAAUCCAAAACCCCCCAUACCUUGGACUCUAGAAGAAACGAAUUAUCCCCAGUCCCUGUGGAUUCGACCCUACUCACCGCUAUAUACAAAAUCUGUAUUUUUCUCGAGUAGGUAUUUAUUAUUGUACAGGUUCGGCACCUGUCAAGGGAUCUGUGAGGAUUGAGAGAGUUUAAACACUUACCCUUAUUACGAUGAAUCCAGAAUUUUCCUCUACUUAUCAACUUGGACCUCCCAUAUUUGAUGGAACAAAUUAUCAAAUGUGGGCUGUCAGAAUGGAAGCGUAUCUUGGUGGAAAUGAUUUGUGGGAGGCUGUAGAGGAUGAUUAUGAAGUACUUCCUCUUCCAAACAAUCCAACAGUUGCUCAAAUGAAACACCAUAAUGAGAGGAGACAAAGGAAAUCGAAAGCCAGAGCAAGUCUAUAUGCAGCUAUCACAUCCACAAUCUUUACCAGAAUCAUGACGUUGAAAACAGCACAUGAGAUCUGGAAUUUCUUGAAGAAUGAAUAUGAAGGAGAUGAAAAAAUCAAAGGGAUGCGAGUGUUGAACUUGAUUCGAGAAUUUGAGAUGCAGAAGAUGAAAGAUUCAGAAACUAUCAAGGUCUAUUCCGACAGACUCCUUGACAUAGUCAAUAAAGUAAGACUCCUUGGUACUGAUUUUUCUGAUUCUAGAAUAGUUCAAAAAAUUCUAGUUACAAUCCCUGAAAAGUACGAGGCUACAAUCGCGGCCUUGGAAAACUCAAAAGAUCUGUCAAGUAUCACCUUGGCAGAGUUGUUAAAUGCACUACAGGCACAAGAACAAAGAAGACUGAUGAGGCAAGAAGGAUCAGUGGAAGGUGCCUUUCAAGCCAUAUCACAAUACAACAACAGGGGCAAGAACAAGAAAAACAACAAAAAGGUGCCUGGAAAUAACAAAUCUCAAGUAUAUCCACUUUGCUCUUAUUGCAAAAAAACCAAUCAUCCGCAGAAAAGGUGUUGAUGGAACCCAAAUGUAAGAUGUCACAAAUGUGGUCAGUUAGGGCAUGUGGAAAAGAUAUGCAAGUCUCAACAGCAACAAGAAGAAGCCAAGGCUGCUGAGUAUCAACCUCAGGAAGAGCAAUUGUUUGCAGCUUCAUGUUUUGCUACUAAUAGCUCCAUGGAAAGCUGGCUUAUAGAUAGUGGUUCUACAAACCACAUGACUUAUGAUCGAGAGCUUUUCAGAAAGCUUGAUAAAACUACUACCACUAGAGUCCGGAUUGGAAAUGGAGCUUACCUUGCUGUAAAAGGCAUAGGAACAGUGGCAAUUGAAGGGUACACAGGUUUGAAAUUAAUUUCUGAUGUUUUAUAUGUUCCAGAAAUUGAUCAAAAUCUUUUGAGUAUUGCUCAGUUGUUGGAAAAAGAUUAUAAGGUGCUAUUUGAAGAUAAAAGCUGCAUAAUUAAAGAUCCAGAAGGAAGAGAAAUGUUCAGAAUUCAAAUGAAAGGCAAAAGUUUUGUUUUGGAUCUGAUGAGAGAGGAGCAAGCGGCUGUACACAAAGAAAUUAAUGAUGCAGCGCUUUGGCAUAAGAGAUUGGGCCAUUUUCAUCAUGCUGCUCUGUUGUUCAUGAAGAAAAACAACUUAGUAGAAGGUAUGCCUGAGUUAGAUGAAGAGCUUCCUACUUGUGCUGCUUGUCAAUAUGGGAAGCAAUCAAGGCUUCCUUUUCCCCAAAGUACAACGUGGAGAGCUACACACAAGCUACAAUUGAUACAUACAGAUGUUGGAGGACCUCAGAAAACACCAUCUUUGAAUGGUAGUAAGUUUUAUAUUCUCUUCAUUGAUGAUUACACUAGAAUGUGUUGGAUUUAUUUCAUGAAAUUCAAAUCUGAGGUUGCUGACAUCUUUUGGAAGUUUAAAGCGUGGGUUGAAAAUCAAAGUAGUUGCAGCAUACAGGUGAUCAGGUCCGAUAAUGGAACUGAAUAUACCUCAAAAAAAUUCAACAAAUUCUGUGAAGAUGCAGGCAUAGAGCACCAACUGACAGCCCCCUACACUCCCCAGCAAAAUGGAGUGGUGGAGCGUAAAAAUAGGACGCUUAUGGAGAUGACAAGAUGCUUGUUACAUGAUAAAGGGCUGCCAAAGAAAUUUUGGGCGGAAGCUAUGAACGCGGCAAUUUUUAUACUAAACAGAUUGCCAACGAAAGCUCUACAGAAAAAGACGCCAUUUGAAGCAUGGCAUGGCUACAAGCCAAAAUUGCUUUAUCUAAAGACCUUUGAUUGUUUGUGUUACUCUUAUAUUCCUCAGGUUAAAAGAGACAAGUUAGACAAGAAAGCAGAGUCGGGGAUUUUUGUAGGCUAUUGCUCAUCUUCAAAGGCCUACAGAAUCUAUUCACCACAAAACAACAAAAUAAUUGUGAGCAGGGAUGUUAAAUUCCUUGAGUCAGACAGCUGGAGUUGGGAAAAUGAAGAUAAAUUUGAAAUGCAGGUAGAGAAUGAUGAUGUCGAUGAAGAACCUGUUAGAGGAACCAGAUUACUCUCUGAUAUUUAUCAGAGAUGUAAUGUUGCUGUUAUGGAGCCUGCAGGAUUUAAAGAAGCUACAAUUGAUCAGAAAUGGAUAGUUGCAAUGAAGGAGGAGCUCAAAAUGAUAGAUAAAAAUCAAACUUGGGAGUUGGUGGACAGACCUACACACAAAAAGGUGAUAGGUGUCAAAUGGGUUUAUAGAACCAAAUUAAAUUCUGAUGGUUCUAUAAACAAGCACAAGGCAAGACUCGUCGUUAAGGGAUAUGCUCAGAUGUUUGGAGUAGAUUUCUCCGAAACAUUUGCUCCAGUUGCCAGAUUGGAUACCAUUCGAAUGUUGUUGGCUCUUGCUGCACAAAAGGGCUGGCUUAUACAUCAAUUAGAUGUUAAGUCAGCUUUUCUAAAUGGAUACCUGGAGGAAGAAAUCUUUGUGGAGCAACCUGAAGGAUUUGUUGUUCAAGGAAAAGAAAAUAAGGUGUAUCGUCUAAAAAAGGCAUUGUAUGGUUUAAAACAGGCACCGAGGUCUUGGUACAGCAGAAUUGAUGCACACUUGAUGAACUUAGGCUUUGAAAAAAGUUUGAGUGAAUUUACCUUAUAUAUCAAAAAGGUUGAUGGUGAAAUACUUGUGAUAUCUUUAUAUGUUGAUGACCUUCUUGUUACAGGAAGCAGCAAGGAGUUGAUUGAUAAGUUCAAAAAGGAGAUGGAAGAUGUCUUUGAAAUGACUGAUAUUGGUAUGAUGUCAUUCUUUCUUGGUAUGGAGAUACAACAAAAGCAAAAUGAAGUGUUUAUAUGCCAGCAAAAGUAUGCAAAGGAGGUCCUGAAAAAAUUUAACAUGGAAGGGUGCAAAUCAACUGCGACUCCAAUGAAUCAAAAGGAGAAGUUUUGCAAAGAAGAUGAGCUGAAAAAGUUGAUGAAGGGCUGUAUAGAAGCUUAAUAGGCUGUCUAAUGUAUUUGACUGCAACCAGGCCAGAUAUCAUGCAGGCAGUGAGUCUGUUAUCAAGAUACAUGCACUGUGCUAGUGAAAUUUAUUUUCAAGCAGCAAAAAGGAUUUUGAGAUACGUUAAAGGUACUGUUGAUUAUGGAAUAAGGUUCAGUCAAGUUAAAAAUUUCAAUUUUCGUGGUUUUUCUGAUAGUGAUUGGGCUGGAUGUGCUGAUGAUAUGAGGAGCACCUCAGGUUACUGUUUUACUUUUGGGUCUGGAAUUUUUUCAUAGUGUUCAAAGAAGUAGGAUGUCAUAGCUCAAUCCACUGCAGAAGCAGAAUAUGUAGCUGCCACUGCUGCUGUGAAUCAAGCACUAUGGAUAAGAAAACUCAUGACUGAUCUACACAUGAAACAGGAAGAUUGCACUCAGAUAUUUGUUGACAAUGAGGCUGCAAUUUCUAUUUCCAAUAAUCCAGUGUUCCAUGGCAAAACGAAACAUUUCAAGAUAAAGCUUUAUUUUUUGAGGGAAGUGCAAAAGGAGGGAGAAGUGCAGCUGAUUUUCUGUAAAACAGAAGAUCAAAGUGCUGAUAUCUUUACGAAGGCUCUUCCCAAGGAAAGAUUUGAGUUCUUGAGGCAAAAACUUGGAGUAUGCAGUUCCAAAACCAAGGAGGAGUGUUGAAUAGCAUGUUUUGUGAAACUGCUAACAGAUUGCAGCAGUUAGUUGUUCACGUUGCUAUUUUUAGGCAAUAGAUAAGUCACAGUAUUUGAUAUGAUUUUGAUUCUAGAAUCUUAUCUCUAGCAGAUUUUUUUCCAGAUUUUCUCUAAUUUUGUUUUGUUUAUGUUAUAUAAAAGCAUGGCUUAUGACUCAAUAAAAAUCAGACUUCUGCAAUACAAAAGUAUUCACUCUUGCUCUACCUUUUUCUGCUCUAAUACCCAACAGAUUAUCUUGGAAGUUAUAACGAAUUGUAUAAAAGGAGGACUUCUGCGUCCUUUCCUUCGUAGCGCUCGAGAACAUCCCUCAGAUUUAGAUGAUAGGUCGCAGAUUAACUCACUCGCCUGUAGGAUUAGUUAUACAUCGGGGGUCUGUUUCUCACGAUUUAGAAAGCUCCAUCUUUCCUUAACCUUGAAUAUUAAACAACAUAAAAGAAAUAAAGAUGUAAAUUAUGCAUCAGUUUUUUUUUUCUUUUUUUUUGGGUUUCUUUCUAUUGCAAGAAACAACAUUAACAACCAUUAGUUUCCAUUCUCCCAUAAUCACAUUUCCAUGGCUCGGCCCAAAAUCUUCAAAAUCUUUGAGGAUUGGGUGCUUGUCAAGGCCCAAGAUAUUCAUCGUCAUCAGAAAUUCAGAAAUUAGUUAAUGCCUAUACAAUGGAGGGAUAAAUAUCUAAGUAUAUAUGAAAAUCCAAGAAGCUAAAACUAAAUACUGAAUAGCUUUCUACUGGCGAACUCAUGAUACACAUCAGGCGCAGAUACAACAUUUUGGUGUGACACCUAUUUACAUAUGAAUAAUUAAACAACCAAUAAAGAUAUGAAUCACUGACUCAUAGAGUUAUAAACGAAUCAAAUCGCUCGUGAGCUGAUUUGAUCAAAACUCAAGUCGAGUUCGAGCACAAAGAAACUCAACUCCUUGGUUCGCGAGCUAACUCUAUAUAUAUAUAUAUAUUAAUGGUGAAAUUACAUAUAUAUUCCUAAUGUUUUAUUAUUUUUUAAACAAUCCCUUGUGUCCGCAAAGGAAAUAGUCUGGACAAGUUGAAGUUGAGAACAAAGGCAUCAUCGCAUGGAAGAGAAAUACUCAAAAUUUAUAACAAAUCCAAGAUCCAUUUUAAUUUACUUGAUGAACAAUACUGUUAGGAGAAUAUUAGUAUUCUUGUAGAUAAUAUAUUAGUAUGGGUAUUCUUGUAAAUAGUCGGUUAGGUUUGUACUCCUAUAAAUACUAGUUGGUCACUCAUAAUACUGUGACUAGAUGUUUUCCUCCCAAGAUACCUGUUGACAUGGUAUCAGAGCAAAAGUCCUAGGGUUAGGGUUAAACAUCUAGCAAAAGUUUUGGUCAUCGCGACUGUUCACGCGAUACUGUUCAUCGCGACUGUUCACUGUUCAUCGCAUACUGUUCAUGCGACACUGUUCACUGUUCACGGCGCUGUUCACUGUUCACGGCGCUGUUCACUGUUCACGCGCUGUUCAUCUCGAGUUUUGACCUUUUCUUUGGUUUGACGUGUCAUUCACCAUGGUUGAAAGGUUUGUUAAUGCGGUUACCAAUGACCACAUUGAAUCGAGUUUUUCAGCACAUGGGUCCCAGAAGACUGUCACUAUAUCUGAGGAAGAUUAUGUUAAAUUCCUACAGUAUCAAGCUACAAAUCACGCAUCUCUUCCCUCUGCUUCUUUAGCACAAAAAGGUAAUGACUCAUGGAUUAUUGACUCCGGGGCUACUGAUCAUAUGUCAGGUACUUCUAAAAUUUUUUCUAAUUUUCAAGAGGCUACUCCCUUUCCUCAUGUUACUUUAGCUGAUGAAUCUACCACUAAAGUUAAAGGACUAGGCACUGUAGAAAUUAAUCAAUCACUUCCGCUGUCUUCUGUUCUUUACGUACCCAAUUUACCCUUUAAUCUAAUGUCUGUUAGUAAGUUCACUAAAUUUCUACAGUGUACAGUUACUUUCUCUCCUGAUUCUGUUGUCAUUCAGGAUUUGAAGACAAAGAGGACGAUUGGUGGAGGGCAUGAGCAUAAUGGUCUUUACUUUCUCAACUUCAAUGGUCCGAUAGCAUGUCCUGCUACUGUUUCUCCUCUUGAAAUUCACUGUCGUUUAGGUCAUCCAUCUUUACAAAAUUUGAAAAAGUUGGUUCCUACUUUGAGUCAAUUAUCUUCGUUAGAAUAUGAGUCUUGUCAGUUAGGAAAGCAUCAUCGUGUUGGAUGUGAAAAAUGCAUUUCUGCAUGGAGAUUUGGAAGAAGAGGUAUAUAUGGAACAACCUCCUGGAUUUGUUGUUCAGGGGGAGAAUUCGCAGUUGGUUUGUCGUUUGAAAAAAUCCUUAUAUGGAUUGAAACAGUCUCCAAGGGCUUGGUUUGGCCGGUUUAGUAUUGUGGUCAUGGAGUUCGGUCUGACAAGAUGUGGAGUAGAUCACUCUGUAUUUUAUGGACAUUCUAAUGCUGGUAGAAUUUUAUUAGUUGUUUAUGUGGAUGAUAUUGUGAUUACAGGUGAUGAUGUUGUGGGGAUCCAGAAACUUAAAUCCAAUCUGCAGGUAAACUUUCAGACAAAAGAUUUAGGUCAUUUACAGUAUUUUCUGGGUAUUGAGGUAGUUCGGUCUAAAUAUGGGAUUUAUUUAUGUCAAAGGAAAUAUGUACUCGAUAUGUUGAGUGAAGUUGGGAUGUUAGGUUGCCGACCUGUGGAUACUCCUAUGGAUCCCAAUGUGAAAUUAGCAAGAGAUCAAGGAGCAUUACUUGAUGAUUCUAAGCAAUAUCGAAAACUUGUGGGUAAGUUAAAUUAUCUCACUGUAACGAGACCUGACAUUUCGUUUGCAGUGAGUGUUGUGAGUCAAUUUCUUGAUAUCCCUCGUACUAGUCAUUGGGAUGCUGUUAUACGGAUUCUCAGGUAUCUUAAGGGUGCUCCUGGAAAAGGGUUGCUGUAUCAAAAUCAUGGACACACUGAUAUUGAAGGAUAUAGUGAUGCAGAUUGGGUCGGUUCUGCCUCAGAUUGAAGAUCGACCACAGGAUAUUGUGUGUUUGUUGGGGGUAAUUUAGUGUCGUGGAAGAAUAAGAAGCAAACAGUUGUCUCCAGAUCAAGUGCAGAAUCUGAAUACCGUGCUAUGGCUCACACUGUGUGUGAGUUGGUUUGGUUGAAAAGCAUGUUACUUGAAAUUGGGUUUGAGUAUAAACAGCCUAUGAAUUUAGUGUGUGAUAAUCAGGCGGCUGUCCAUAUUGCGUCUAAUCCAGUGUUUCAUGAAAGGACAAAACAUAUUGAAGUUGAUUGUCAUUUCAUUCGAGAGAAAUUACUUGAUGGAGUCAUCAAGACAUCUCAUGUACCGUCUGCAGAUCAAUUGGCUGAUUUGUUUACCAAGAGUUUAGGGGGCACUAGGGUGAAAUACCUUUGUAACAAGUUGGGUGCUUAUGAUAUAUAUGCUCCAACUUGAGGGGGAGUGUUAGAAAAAUAUUAGUAUUCUUGUAGAUAAUAUAUUAGUAUGUGUAUUCUUGUAAAUAGUCGGUUAGGUUUGUACUCCUAUAAAUACUAGUUGGUCACUCAUAAUACUGUGACUAGAUGUUUUCCUCCCAAGAUACCUGUUGACAAAUACCAAAUGAACAGGAGCAAAGAAAUAAAUGAUUGUGCUUACCAUUACUUUUGGAUUCAGUCAGUUGAUAAUGUUCAUCAAUAAAUUUACAGCUUCAUUUGGGCAAGGCAGAGGUACUGCUGUUGACUGGAGUUGUUAAGAGGGUUCCCAGGAAAAAUGAGUAGGAUGUGAUAUUUCUGGAACCCACACCAUAUGUUUUUUCUACAUUGGCUGCUUGUGCUCUCUACUUUGACAACAGAAAAUUCAUAUUUCACAGUCACUUGCUGCAUGACUUGCCACUUAGAGACUAGGAAGUAUAAAGAUGCCCUUCUAGUUCUAACCAAGGCAAAUAUGACAUGUGGUAUUAAGAUUGAAGAGCCUUGUAAACGAACAAUGCAGCAUCACUUUGUCUUGCACAAAUAGUGAAUUGCAGAAGUAGAUAGCGGUCAAUCCCAACAAACAAUUACUAUGAAACCAUAAUGGUGAAGACUUAGAAAUGGGUGUCCGUUUCAUCCAAGUACAAUUUUUAUUGGAAAAAACCAUAUCACAUGCUAUCAAAUUACUUCAAGACUAGUGCCGAUUUUGGAAAGUACUUGAGAUACAACGAGAGAGCUGCACUCAAACUGGGCAAGUUUUGUGUUGAUUGUGUUAGCCUAUAUAUUUUACACUGACGGGUAGUAGGAUUAAUCAUUAUACAGGGAGAUGAACUUUAGCAGAAAUGGAAAUCCAAGACUUCUUCUGGACGUUGAAACAACUGGUAUUACAAAUGAAGGGGACGAUUGGGUUGGGUGGUAGGACUAUUAAUGGGGUCAAACCAUCUCGAUUCGUUCGGUUCGAGAAAAGUCCAAUGAGUCCAAUCUUUUGGUGAGUUGGAUUGAGUUUAGACCUAAAAACUAGAUCGAAUUCAAUAUGAGUCGAAAUUUUCAUUAGACUCAAUUUCGAUAGAGGUCCAGCCUUUUAAUAUAUAUAUAUAUAUAAUAUUUAUAUUUUUAUAUUAUAUGUAUAACUAUAUAUCCAAAUAUAUUAUUACUAAAUACUAAAUAUAUACAAAUUACGAAAUACAAAAAUACAUUUGAAGGCUGAAGUCUCAACAUUUUUCAAAGAGAAGUACAAAACGAAACAAAUCAAUUUUUCCUGUUGGUAACUAUAUGACUCAUAAGACAAAUCAAUUUGUUUACUUCUAUUUGGAUUCAAGUCACAAGGCUAUAAAGAAGUUCCAACCUCUAAAUAUGUAUUGGCUUAUAAUUGCAUAUUUUAUUACUUUUUUAAUGUAAUUUGAAUGAAUUAGAUAUAAAUAUUAUUAAAAAAAUUCUUGAUAUAUGUACUUUUUAAGAACUAUUACUUAUUUAUGUAUAAUUUUAAUGUUAUAAUCUCGUGAAUAUUAAAUUAGUUUUACAACUUAAUAGUUAUAGUAAUUAAAGAAAUUCAACUCGUUAGUUCGCGAGUUGGCUCAAUAUUAUAUAUAUAUAUAUAUAUAUAUAUAUAUAUAUUAAUGGUGAAAUUACAUAUAUGUUCCUAAUGUUUUAUUAUUUGCUAAAGAAAAAUUACUAUUUUAUUCUUUUUUAAAAAAAAUAAAAUAAUUAUUUUUUUAAAGUUUGAAUUGGCUCGAGCUUGACUUGGCUCGAAUUUGAGGUUGAACUCGAGCGCAAGUUUUACAUUGAGAACUCAUCGAACUCGAUGUCGAGUUUUAUAAAUUUGUGUCGAGGCUGAACUGGAUUAAGGCAAAACUCGACUCGGCUCAACUUGACCGUUUGCAGCCAUUGAGAAAGAAUCAAUAUUAGAACAUUCAGUGCGAAAAAUGUAGGAAUUAUACUACUUUAACUCCACUGGGUCGUUUCCCUUCCAUGGCAUCUUUCUUGUUACGACAAUCAGAACCAAGGAAAGGCCCUUGCCAAGGCUUUGAGCUAGAGAGAUUAUGGAACCAGCAUGACAUGAAAAGGCCAACUCAUGUUGUUGUCUGACCAUUGGAGUCAUCAUUUCCUAAUCUGCACGCUAUACAAGAAAGAACUUGAAAAACUUUCUUAAAUGCAACUAAUGCCUGUUUCUGCAACUAUAUUUUUUGGUAAUUACUAGUCAUGAAAAAAAGCAUGCAAGUCAACUUGGAAUAUGAUUUAUAUUUCCAAUCUGUGGUAGAGGUAGACAACUUUUGACAGUUGAAACUGUGUGAUCGUGUACCCGAAAAUCACAUAGUAAUUUUCUAUUAGAUGAAUCAACGGUGAUUUCGUGCAAUUGAGUCCAAAUCCUGGGAAGCCACAAUAGGAUUCUUGCAGACCUUGAAUGUAGAAUGGAUAUUUUAUGCUUAUAUUUCCACAAGAUUUUCGAACACAUGCUUCAUACUGGAAAUGAGCAGCAGACGAUUUUUCUUCGAGAAAGACGAAAAGGAAUAUGAAAAUCUGUGGAAACAAUAUGGGAAUGGCUGACUGCAUUCGGUUAAAUAUCUUGAUAGAUAGAGUAUAUUUUGUAUAUGUCCCCUAAGCAAUGAGAAGUGGGGAGAGCAAGCAAUGGUGCAUGCGUUUUUGUGUCUGAGGAAUUGAUUUUAUAAUCCUACAUAGCACUCAAGAACAUCCCUCCGUUUUGGAGACUUUUUUAGUGAGAAAACUUGAACCCAAGAUCUCUGAAUUAUAAACUCCCCGUUUUUCAAUCGAGACUACCAUGUUUCUCAUAAUUUAGCCAGUUCUAUCCUUCCUUAGCCUUGCGUCCAAAAGAAGAAGAGGAAAGGGAAAAAAGGAAGAGACGUAUGUGAUGAAUAAGAUUAUUUUUCUUAGUUCUCUAUCUAUUGCAGGAAACACAACUAACAAAUUUCCAAGAAAAAACUCAGAGGAAGACCAUUAGUUUCCCCUCUCCCAUACCAUGUUUAUGGCUUGGCAAAAUCCUCGAGUCUUUGGGGAUUUGGUUGCUAUCCAACGUUUUCAUCAUCAAAAGAAAUUCAGAAUCUGUCAAUGCCUGUACAGCGGGUUGUCAAAUAUCUAGUAUGAAUAAUGACGUUCCAAGAAAGCUUAAUGUAGAUACUAAAUUAAUUGACCAACCGAUAAAAAUAUCGAUCAAUAAAGAAUCGGGAUUCGAAAAUUCAGUGCAAAAAAUGAAGGAAUUAUACUACUUUAACUCCACUGGGCCGUUUCCCUUCCAUGGCAUCCUUCUUAUUACGACAAUCAGAACAAAGGAAAGGCCCUUGCCAAGGCUUUGAGCUUGUGGAGAAUAUGGAACCAGCAUGAACUGAUAUGCCUUCACUUGGAGCAAGAUCAGUCUGGCAAACAGCACAUAUGAAAAGGCCAACUGUUGUCUGACCACUGGAGUCAUCAUUUCCUAAUCUGCAAAGUAUACAAGAAAGAACAUGAAAAACUUUCUUUUAUGCGACUGAUGUCUGUUCCUGCAACUGAUAUCUAGUGAUCAUUACAAGUCAUGCAAAAAGAGAAUGCAUGUUGACACGGUGAAUGUGAUUUUAUAAAUUACCAAAUGCAUCGGAACCAUGUAAUACUAUAACCAGGUGUUUUCCUGGUUGAUUGAUAUGAACUUUGGGAGCUGAUAUUUCCUGAACUUAGUCAGUGGAAGUUCAAUGAAAGUAAUACUUAAUAAACACUAUCUCUAAUUUUUUGUGAAUCCACUCUAUCACCAGCUGUCUAAGGAAAUAUUUCUGAGGGUUACCAUUGUUCUGAACCAUGAACAUCACUCUAUCCAGUAUAAUAUGUCUCGCAAAUUGCAGAAAUCAACUGAUUAAGAGUACCUUCAAGUCUCCUUGAAGAAAAUGACUAGUUAACUAAGAAGUCAAGUGUUCUGCCCAAUCCUGUCGUGAUCCCCCUAAUACUGAUGACCUCCCAAGUUGAGAUGAAUAUGAACAAGAUUAAGAACACCCAGAAGGUUUGGUCUCAUUCUAUACCACUACCACUCAUUAACUAUUCAAUCUCAUGUAGUUCUGCAGAUGCAGUAGCAGGUUAACAGUUCAAAGUAAAACAAAUUAAAGAAAAUUAUUUGCCAGGUGAAGUCUAAAAUUUCAAUGCUGUAGAGUAGAGAAAUCUAACCUUUCUGCAAGCAUUGCUGACCCUUCUUCAAAUAAUUCUUCUACUAUUCCUACAGCUGAUAGCUUCUUUGAUAGUCUGCUGGAAGAAUCACGGAAUAUCUUUCUAAACAAAAAUGCUUGGAAUUUGUUAUACUUCUUUGGUGGAGCGGGAGGUUGAACAGUGUUAUCAGGAGGAAUUAUGUCAACCACUAUACAAGUUGUGUCAUCCUUAAGGCCGCGUGUCCUCAAUGCUUCCUGAACAACAUACAACAGCGCACUUUCAAAAAGUUCAUUUGCUAUCUAAUUUCAGUGCCAGUCACGUCUUCCAGUUGUUUAGGUGUCAUGUGGUUAGGUGCAUGAAGGUCAUGCAUGCAUAUUCUCAAUUUGCCGAUAAAUUACCUUAACCACUUGUCUUGCAGCAAGUUCUGCAGGCAAUCCACGACAUGAUUUUGCUGCCACUUCUGAAGAUAAUGCAUCCCAAAUACCAUCAGAUGCAAUUAUCAUCCUCCCACCUGCAUUUGAUAGCUGGACCAAGAGAACAGGAAGGUCAAUAGCCAAGUCAGUCACACAUUAAGCAUCAUCUAAACCAAGGAACUAACAAGUUAUAUAGCAGGGGGAUAAAAUGUAAGAGAGAUAGUGAAACAGUGACGAGAAAAGAACAGAGUAAAAUUGAUUGAAUGAGCAUAGAAGAGGAAGCCAAAAACUGAGCAGAUACCUUAACUUGUUUGACAUGAGGUAUUGGAACAAUAAAUUCCCCAACAUCCAUGUCUCCAAUUGAUCUUGAAAGGCAUAAACCCCCUGGCCAACAACGAAGGGGACCUAUCUGCGCACAUGAAGUAAGCAUGUAAUUUCACAAUCUGAAAACCAAUUAAGAGGCAGCUGCUUCUGUGAUCAAGCCCAUUGGUAAGACCACUAGAAGCAUAACCAGAAACAGAAAAUUAAGGACUCUAAACAAUCUACCUCAGAUCCGCCAAAAAUGCUCAGCCUUCCAACCUCACCUCCACUUGCUGUAACUCGUUCCCUUCUGUAAUUAAAAGACACAGAUUAACAUCUGCCUAGAAGAAGAUGAAACACUGGAGUUAAAAGUUAGGUAUUUACUCCUCAACAUUUUCUUCAAGUCUAUGAUCAACAGUCAGCGCUGUGACAGCACCACCCUGUGUAUCCAAAACACACCGUGAAUCACCAACGGAUGCAACUGUCACAGUCCAUCCAUCAACUAUAACAAAUGUCGCUGUCGUUCCAGAAGUUUGGCCUGUUGAAAACAAGAUAAUAAAAAGAAUUCAUCUUCUUAAGACCAUAACAAUAUGCUAGGUGGCUGGUAAAUUGCUACAAGUAACAAAAUGUCAUGCCUCUGCUCUGAAAUUCCUUGUCAGUUUUCACAAAUCCUGCAACUAAUGCCCGAGGCAGAGCUUGUAGCCACUCUUCCCGUCCAAGUCCACGAGGAAUGGCGCUCAAAAUAUGAUUCAACAAAUUAUCCCUAGAAAAAAUUGCAGCAGCAUUUCCAUUGUGCCCAUCAAAGACCUGAAGAUUCGCAAAACAAUAAGAUCAUAAUAUAUGAUACAUAACUUGUCAGCUUCAAGAAUCACGUUAUCCAAACAUCAUCAACUUCUUCUUGAUGAUAUUACUGGCCAAUUGAUAGUAGUGUCAUUCUUUGUCAAUUAAGAACCUCAACAAUGUCUAAGUUCCAGUACCUGUUACUGACACCUUCCCUGUUAAUACUCCUUCAUUCAUAAUUAAGAUUACAGGAAAUCUCUUACCACAUAAAUUGUGAUCAAGACUUUGAGAAAAAGGAAAAGUGAUAUAAGUUCACCGCUAUGAAUGCCUUAGUUCUAUGUAAAAGGAUGAGCUUUCAAAGAAACUCAAUGAUUGAAAAGCCCAGUACAUGUUUCACCUAGCAAAGUUAUAAAAUUUAACAUCCUUGAACACACACACCACCAACCCCCCCCCCCCCAAAAACCAAAAAAAAAAGUAAUAAUCAUCACACAGAGUACAGAAAACGGGGCAUGAUUUCAGAAAGCAAUCCUAAGCAUGUUGCUGACUGAAGUGCAAAAGCAGGAUGUUGAUCUGCUCUUUAACCACUUUAAACUCAUAUAAGGAUAAAAGGUUUCUUUAGAGAGAUUACUUACAGCAAAAACAGAGAAUGAUGUUGAAGGAUUCCCCAAAACUCUCUGGCAAUCUGUCUUUGUUAAAACAUAAUCCUCUCCUUUCCUGGACUGAGUCGCGCACCCAUAUCUCACUGCUGGCUUCUCCAUUUUUUCAUUUCUCAGUUCUCUGCUAAGCAGUGCAGCUAAUGGUACAAGAUCAUGCUGAUGCUUGUGUCUCUCUUCCCUUGACCCCAUUCUUGUCAUCACCUACUCCCCCUCCCAAUUCCCCACAAUUCAAAAUAACUUCUAAUCCUUCCUAUACCAAAACUCGCACUAAUCCUUGCAUCUCCGCAUCCGUCAUCUCUAUCACUCCUGAAUAAAUUCCCAUCCCAAUACCUACAACCAGUUCCUCUAGGUAGUUUACUUUUCUCCCUAGUUAUUAAAUCUCAGGAAAACCCGCGUCAAGAAAUUACAAGUUUUUUUGGCCAAACAAGCUUAAAGUCGCAGCUUUUAUCUGAAACCAAUGAAACAGAGGAACAAAAAAGUGCCAAAAUUAAGCUAAGAUUUGAGAAACCCUCAAAGCCAAGGUAUCAAAACAACGCCAUUAAAAAAAACAGCUUUGAAGUUGAAAAACCAUUAAUAAGAUGGGAUUUACCUUAAAACAGAAUGCUCGCUGGAAGUACUAUGUUUCUCCACGAAUAAAAGCCAAAAUGCAGAUCUGACAAUGACUGCAAAACUUCUCCUUUUUUUUGCUUGAAGAACAAUGCAGAGUAAUAAAGAAGGGAAAUCAACGCGGUUUGAUGACAAGGUAUGAACUGUAAUGCUCCAAUCAUCAAAAACACAUUACUUAAACCUUAAAAAAUUAAAAAAAAACCAACAUUGGAGACUAGAGGAAACACACCCCACAAUUUCAUAAACACGCUUAUAUAUGGUUGUGUGUGUGUGGUAUGUGGCUGAGUGAUUGAAUUCAGUGAAUUGUUAAACAGAGAAAAAAGUCAGCAAGGGAACAUUCAGCACUAGCCUCAAGAAAGGCAAGCAAAGAUCCUUACUUUUUUUUGCUUUUCAGUAAUUAAAAAUUAGUGACGAGUCCUGGGAGGCAAAGCAAUUAUAGGGGAAAUGAAUAUAUACUACCUUGAUGACUGAUGAGAGAAAGCUGACUUUAUGGAAGGGUAAGAACAUGGAUGUAAGUUUUGAUUAAAAAAAAAAGAAAAGAAAAAGAAAAUGGAUGUAAGAUUGGUUGGAUUAGCUGGCUUGAAAAUGAAAAGAAAAUAAAAGAAAAAGUAGGCAAGAUAACAAAAAGCGAGUAAUGACCGAACAAAAUUGAUUGGCACUUGAACGUUGGAUUAGCUGUCUAUUUUAUGUUUACUUCUCUUUCUUACAAUUAUUUUGAUGAUAAUAAGUGGUGAACUAUACUUUAUAUCCUUGAACUAUACAGCGUUACAUUUAAAAUUUUUUCAGUAUUUAUAAUUAUUUUUCUAUUCCAAGAAUUCAAUUGUAUCAAACAAACACAAUGAUGGUGUUACUGCCAAGAAGUAGAUAAAAUUGACCACAUGCUUAAUCAAUUCCUAAUUAACAAACGGAAUGUUUUCAUUAGUAGCUUAAAAUGUCAUAAAACAUAGGGGACAACUUGAUACAAUUAACAGUCCAUACUGGCAAUAUGAGAUAUAAUUAUAAUUGAGCAGAGAAAAAAUGAUGGAUUUGUUUGGACAGAGUAUUAUUUAAAAUAUUAUUUGAAAUAAUUACUGUAUUACUGUUUAUGAUGUGAUGCAUGUGAGAUAAAAAAAUAAUUAAAAUAUAAAAAAAUAAAUUAAAAAAUAUAUUUAUGAUGCAAGCGAUUGCCCUGCUUUAAACUAUGCUUUCUAAAAAUGUACUAGUAUUACAGUUCAAAACUUACUAAAAACUUUAGCAAAUACUAAAAACAUAGCCGGUAUGAGUAAGAUUGCUAAAUACGUGUGGAAGUGGAAGUCACCGACUCACCUACAGGGAAAAGUGACCGCUCUGCUGAGUCUGUGUCUAUGUUCUAUCCAAAUCAAUGGACCAUUUCUUUUUUUAAUGGAAAAGUUUAAGUGAUUAAAAUGUAAAAACUAAGCAAAGAAAGAAAUUGAGAGGAGGGAUGGGACCUUUUAGGAGAUAAAACAAAAAAAAAAAAGGCUGACACGUGCGGAAAGAUCAUCUGCACUUUGCAUGUGUUUCUGUGAAAAGCCUAAUUAUAGGCUUACCAGAAAACGCAGUUACCACGUUUGGAUUUCACUGUCCUGCUUGCGAAAAAACAGCUGCAAGGAAUGGUGAGCUGCAUAUUUGGUGGAAAUUAUUUUCUUUUUUUUUUUUUUUUAAAAAAGGUGUCCCAAAAGUGGUGGCGGUGCCGCUGCAGCUUGUGGCGGUGAUCGGUGGUCCCAAAAGUGGUAGUGGUGGAGGUGGUGGCAGUCCUUUUGUAGUCUCUCUAAAAUUUUAUUUUAUUUUAAUUCUUUUUUUGGUUUACUGCUGGAAACAAGUAAACCCAAGUAAUCUUCACUUUCAGUGAGCAACAUCUCCUUCCGAAUUGAUUUUGCAAUGAUAAUAACAGAAUUUGGAAUUUCAUCUCAAAAUUAAUUAGCAAUAAACGGAGUAUUAAUGUGAAAAAAAUCUUGAAAAAAAAUUCUUGAAAAUUGGAUGUGAGACAUACCACAUAGUAUUAAUUCGAUGCGAGACAUAAUGUAAAAAAAUUCUUGAAAAUUGGAUGUGAGACAUUUUAUUUUAUUUUUUUAACCAAUAAGAUAUUAAUACUGUCUUAGCUAAAAUUCUUGUUCCUUUAGUAGAUAGAGAUAGAGGUGUUCUUUAUUACAAUUUGCGCAUACAUUUUGAACGGGACUCUAGCCCGUUCGGAUUGCUAUUUUUAGGAAUUUUUAUAGAAAAAUAUAUUAUAACGAUUUAAUGUACGUGAGAUAAAAUGAUAAUUAAAAAAUAUAUUCAUAAAAAAUAUAAAAAAUUUUCUGCAAAAAAUCACAAUGCGGCACAAGAUAUUCGAGCCCUCGAGCGGCCAAAAGAAGGAAAAGCAUUGUGCAGACUUUAAUGGAGUUAGCUUCUAGUUCUAGUCCUCACCCAAAGGCCACAUGGAGACAGAAUUAAAUAGGGCCGUGAGAUGAGGCGGGAUGCAACGCAACAUCACUCAACGAUUUUAAUUGCUAUAAACCUGUAGGCAACUGUAUAUGUACGCAAGAAAUAAUUGCCAGUCGUUUUCAUGAGAGAUGUAUAUUCAAUUCUUGGCCUCCCAAAAUCACAAAUUUUGCUCCAGUUGAUAUCUUCUCUUCUGUUACUAAUAAAGGAGAAUGAAUGCAUAUUAAAGGAGGAUAGUCUCAACUCUCAACAAUUAUUGAAAAAAAUUAUCUCUUUGGCUGCAUUGAAGGAUUUGACGAAUGAUUUGAAAUCUUCACAAAUUUCUCGAGUUGUUUAGAUUACUCAAGAAAUAUUUAGAUUUACCUAAUUUUCAGAAUUAUUUAGAUAAUUGAAAAAUUGCAAACUCAAAUGCUUUUUUUUUAAAGUAAUCCAUGUAACUAGAGCGAUAUGAUCUGCGUGAAUUUCAAAUAUUUCAUCAAAUUUCUCAAUGCAAAUGAAGCCAAAAACAAUCAACAUCGCACUAGCUGUUGAGGGAUGGUACUUGUUAGAAUGUGCACUAAUUCGCCGCAUUAAUUCACGCCUUGUACAACAAAUUUAAAGCAUCAAAUUCCUGGUUUUGGUAACUCUUAAACAUCGAUUGAUGGUUACCGUUUCCUACCUUGCAAUUUUCUUUAGCUGUUUGAGACAGUUAUUUUCUUGUUGAAUGAAUUCGUUUGCUAUAGGUUUAGAUGUCUAGCUCCUUAAAUAUGCCCACUUUUCAAUGGCUGAAUUCAAUUCAAUAGAUACUAGUUGCAAAUAAAGCAGCCAAAAUUCUCCUUAAGCUGGCGCCUGGUUGUACUUAAAACACAAUUAGUAAGUUGCAGUUAAUAUACUUCUGUUCCCUGAUGAAAUAGGAAUUUUGCGAACAUCCAAUAGGGAAAUUACAGUUUUAAUUGUGUAGGAUAAUCUCCAAAUCCAUAUGAAAUCAUUUCGAAAAUACAAAAUGAGAGUGGGCAAAUAAAUUGCCUGCGUGGCAAGUUGAUGAUCAUGGAGUUUGCGGUCUUCUUGAAUGCAGGGACAUUGUCACUUUGAUCAAACUUGUACAAGAAUUUAGUCAUUUUUUUUAAGGACACAACCGAGAAAUGACGGGAAUUAAGUAUAAACCCCGACCCGUUUAUUAAAAAUUUUCAAAAAAGUACGUGGUAGAGAGGUUCUACCUCUUAACUUAGAGUAAUUGAAAAAUUAACAAGCUCCACAUUUAUGGUAUUAUUAUGAAGGGGGGGGUUGGGUUGGGUGGUACGAGGGGAAGGGAGUGUAAACAAGAAAUCUCGAAUUCGAGUUCUUCCGGUUGCACUAAAUAAAAAGAUGGAAGGUAAAUAUAUGGUAUUAUUAUGAAGGUGUUUGAAUUUUUUUUCUACUUAGAAAUCUUGUCGUGUUUGUAUUAUUUUGCCGAUUUUUAGUACUCCUUUCGUUUCUUGACGUUCUUUAAAAUUAUUGGGAUGAACUGAUAGUUAUUAUUUACGUACUUUUUGGGGUCUUCGGAAGAGUUCCAAACUGAACCGGAAAAGAAUCUGACGAGUUCAAGAUGAAGAUAUGGAGAAUUCUUUCUUAUGUUCAAUCUUCAACUAUUUGGUCCUCAGUCCAUGUCAAUGAACUUUUUUUCUGUUAUUAGUCAAGCCAGCAAUUCAGUAGUUGCUAAUAAGGCAUAUGGUAUUUUUUUCAUGGAGUAGACUGUAAACUUUUCCAAAGUCACUUCCUAUUAGUCAAGUCAGCAAUUCAAAGUUAAUAAGGCAACGUGGUAUUUUGCUUUCCCCAAAAAAAAAAAAGGGCAUAUGGUAUAUGCAUGGAGUAGAAAAAUAGGGAACUAGAUAAAUUAAAUUGAUUCACAAAAAUAUUUUAUUUCCUUAAACAUGUUUUCCACAGAUGCUAAACAGCAAAAGGUUAAUGAAUUUACUGAAAUAAUUCUUUGAUUUACUUUGUAUUUAGUGUCUUUUUUGUAAAGCAUAGCCAGCUUUCGAGUGCCAUCCCUAUCCUUUUUUGAAUUAAUAGACUAGUAUUGAAACUAAUUAUUUAUAUAAACUUCACUACUUAGCAUAGCCUUUUUUUUCAGUGUUGUUCCAAAUUUUCCUACUUCCCUCCCAAAAAAAAUUUGAUAGUCUAUUAUUUGUAAAAAAAAAAAUAUUUUUAUCUUAUAUAUAUUAUAUCACAAAAAGCACUGUAAUAUUAUUCUAGAAAAAAUUCGAAUAAUUCCCCCACGUACAUCCAAAAACAAAAUACACCAACUGUCAUAGGCUAACGGAAGUUUCUUGCAAAAAUGAUAUAGAAUGGAUAAAAAUUUUCGAUAAGCAUAAUCUUGAUAAAAUUAGUAAAUGAACCAAAAGGGCAAAAAAAAAAAAAAAAAUCCUGCUUUAUCUAAUUUUUCAAGAAAAUUCUCUCCCUUUUUAUUUCUGUCCUUUAUCGAAAGGCGUGCCCGACUCGACACGGUCAGCCUAACUUUGUGUAGGGCUGCUCCAAAAGCACAAUUCUUCUUCAUUCUUUCAUUCUUUUCUUCGUUCUACCUUUUUAUCCCGAGUGUCAAACACGUCCUAAGGACUUCAGAUCAACGCAACAGCCCCCUUUCCCAAUUUAAAAAAUAAAAAAUAUAUAUAUGAUUAAAAAUAGCAGUAUAUGAGUAUAAAUAGAUAUACUCUGUAGUAGUAUCAAUAAUUUUGCCUGUAACUUAUGUAAUUCUAUAAAAAUUGGGAUCAAAUUAGAAAGUUUAGAUUUUUAAAAAGGCAUCGAUCAGGAUGUCCAGCGCCGCCGGCGGCGGCGGCUACUGUCGGAGCUAUAGAGAGAUCACAUGGGACGCCGGCGCCGGUGCCGCUGCAGGUAACCACUCAGCUCAAUUUUGCCUCGCCUUUAUUUCACAUUCCUAAUUUUUACUAUUUUGUUUGGUUUGAGCUGAAAUGUAGUUGAAUUGGGAUUCUUUUCCCUGUGUAAAUUAUUUAAUUUGAUCAGAAAAAUUGUUCUGUUAUUGUGUUAUAGGUGCAAUAGCUGCCACAUUUGUAUGUCCAUUGGAUGUAAUUAAAACAAGAUUGCAAGUUUAUGGAUUGCCUGAAAUGGCUCGUUCUGGUCAUAGAGGUGUGUAUUGUACUUUUGAUUAUUGAAUGAUUUAAACAUUUCCGUUUCUUAUUUUGUUAUUUUUUCGGGUGAUCUAUCAUGCUUAUCUCUAUGCAAAGUUAAACAAGCAAUGUCUUGAAAAUGGGAAUUUUUGGCCAGAACAAAUAGGCUUGUGGACAUGGAUCAUCGCUGGAUUUCGUUGCAAUGUUAAUCUGCAUAUAUUUUAAAUGUGGAUUCUUUGUUACAUUUUUCUGUAUUUGAGCUCAUUGGGUGCCUACUAAACUUGUUAUUUGCAACCAAGCGUGCGAAUGUGGCACUAAAGCACAUCUUUUAAAGUAAAUAUUAGUUAAGAUGGUUUUAUCAUAUAUUCCGCCUACAAGCUGCUCAUGUUCUGCGUUGAGUGAUUCUUGGUGGACUAAAGUCCUUUUUUGGCCUAUAAAACGCUGAAAAAAGCAUUUGAUUACUGAACUACUAAAAACAAUUGGGAAAUAUUCUGGAUCUGGUACAAUUCCAGUGUUCCUAUGAUUAUUGUGAUCAGAAGAAAGCAAGAACUUUAAGUAAGUGUAGUAGCUAUAUUAGUAGCAUUUCUAAGGUUAGACAACUUGUGCAUGAUUCUUAUUCGCAGCGUAUGAGCUGUUUAGAUGAGUGUGACUAGUGAUGUCAGUCUAGCAUAAUUAGCUCGACUUGCACAAUAUAAAUCUCGUAGCCAUAAUUGGUUUCAGCGAACUAUCUGCAUACAGGUUCCCAAGAUUAGUAAUCUUAAAUGCCUCCUAUUAGUAAUCUUAAGUGCCUCUAAUAGGAGUAGCACCUCCAAUUUAGAUGAUUUCUGUAUAAUUUCUUUUCCUUCUUAUUCUUUUUCUUCAUUUUUGGGCAAAAUAAAUAUUUUGCUAUGCAAUUUAUGCUUUUUAUCUUUUGGCAACUUUCAGGCAGUGUCAUUAUUACAAGCCUACAAAAUAUAGUACGAAAUGAAGGUUUCCGGGGAUUGUAUCGGGGCCUUUCACCCACAUUAGCCGCAUUACUUCCAAAUUGGGCAGUGAGUAUCAUUUUAUUGAGUAUUUUCAAUUAUAACAUCUGAAACUUUUAUGCAAUAUGGAAUAUGAGAAUAUAGUCAGAUUGGUCUGUCAUUUCCCUUGUGGGUUGCAUAUAUUGGUUGCUCUAAAUAUUUGAGUCUUGGGAUAUUGGUCAGAUACACUCUAUGAAACUUCUAUAUGUGAUAGAAUCAGCCAAAAUAUGGUUUUGUUGGACUGUGUGGCUAUUUGCUGCUAACACCCCCGCCACUACCCCUACCCCCCUGCGGGAGGGCGAGAAAAAAAAAUCCUUUUCUUCUUUUCGUGCCCCCAGCAAAAUUUAUGCUUCUACGUCUAUAUAUCCAACUUUUGUUCCUUUCUUAGUAGGUAAGAUUACUUAAUUUCAGACCCAUGUGACUAUUAUCUGAUAAAGACAAAACACUAUAGAUUGUAACCAGAAUAUAUGCUCACACCCUAAUUCUUAAACACAAUUUUCUGAAUGCUUUAGGCAUAAUUAUAGGCUAAAGUAGCAUCUAUCCUUUCUGCAUCAUAGUUUUUCCACCUAAUAGCAAGUGGGAAGUAAUUUCUUUUCUUAUCAAAAGUAUGCAGGUAUCUUCUGCUCAUUUUAAUUGGCAUUAGAACAUAUUGCUGUCCUUUUCCUUCAUAUGUCCUCUAAUGACACAAGCUCAUGUGAAUGUGCAGGUAUACUUCUCUGUUUACGGACAUCUCAAAAGCCUGUUGCAUUCACAUGGUUAGUUCUUCUAUGUUACCGCUUUGCUCUCUCAUGCUUGGAGUUUUGUAUAGAUGUUUAUAACUUUAUAGAUUUUUGCCUGCCUUGAUGCAUAGUGGUUAUCAGACCAUUAAAUCUUUGCUACUCACUAGGAAUUACAUUCUUACAAUGUCCUAUGGUGGACAUGCAGUGGAUAGCAGUGGUCAGUCAACAAUUGCUGCAAAUGUGAUUGCUGCUUCUGGUGCUGGGGCUGCAACAGCUGUUGCAGCAAAUCCCUUGUGGGUUGUUAAGACCCGACUCCAGGUAUGUUGAUGUUGUUUAUGCUCAGUCAUAAUGUAGAAAUUCAACUUUGCUGGUUAGAUUCUUUUGAAAGAUUCUCUAUUCAUAUAUCAAACCGAGGCAUUUCUUUUUGAGCAAUUUGAUGUAGCAUGAAAGCUACAUUCCUGUCCUACUUCAAGGUAUCUAGCCAAUAUUUAAGAUGCAUAAAUUUGUUUAGCUAUUCCUCUUGAUAAGUGUAUUUGUUAAGAGAGCUGAUGGAUUACAAAAGGUCAGCAUGGAACAAAUUCUGCAAUUUAUUUCCGUUUGCAGUGUAGUAUUUUUGAAAGUGCAAACAAAAGAGUGUGUACGCAUUGUGAAAUCCAAUUAGCUGAGCCUUCUGUGAUCCCUAAAAGAGUGUAAUUCUCAUGAAGAUGAUUGGAGCAUUUCAUUCACUUACCAGAUUUAAGUCGGGCCCGCAACUUUGUUAUGUCAAGUUACCUACGGGAUGUUUAACUGGUCGUGGCCUGGACAACUUGUUACUUGCACAAUGUUUAAAUGUAAUGCUUGUUUCCCUGUAUUCUGAAUACAUACAUAUUCAAGUUCAAGAUUUCUUCAUGCUGGCCAUCAUUAUGACAAAGGGACAGUUUAUUCAAGCCUGAAAUUAUUAUCGAACCUAUAGGUCAUGGCCAUGUGUCUAACAGUUAGUAGCCUUUUAUCUGUUCACUGAGGGAUAUUUUCGUUAUUAUUUUGGCAUUACCUGAGAUACCUUUAUUCUUAUUGAACAGUUUUCCUUAGUCUAGGUUUCUUUUCUGUACAUUUCUAAUCUUGAAACCUUUUCUUUUCUUUUUGUAGACACAGAGAAUGAGGCAGGGUGUGGUUCCUUACCAUGGCAUAUUAUCUGCUUUGAGACGAAUAGCACAUGAAGAAGGAAUUCGAGGAUGGUACAGGUCAGUGCAACUUGAUCUACUCAAAUCCAAAUGAACAAAUCUUGCUCCAUUAAUUCCACCAAGUUCUUUACUUAGUGCAAAGAACUUCUGAGACUCCAUUGGACUGUUUAAUCAUUAUCCUACGUGCUCGAGUGAAUUAUGCAUUAGACAAAUUGUCUUUUGACAAUUAUUGGAUGCAUAGCAUAUAUCUCCACUCAAGAAUCAUUCUGUUUUCCAAUUCCUUUUUCUCUGGUGGAUACAGUGGCCUUCUUCCAUCUUUAGCUGGGAUAAGUCACGUGGCAAUCCAAUUUCCGGCAUAUGAACAUUUGAAGGCCUACUUGGCAAAAAGGAGUGAGAUCUUUUAACUCUUUUAAAUGAUUUUUUGGAUUAAGAAUUUGUUUCUCACGUAAUGUCUAAUUCUCUGUGGUCAUAUUGGUUUUGGCUUUUCAGAUAGCAAAAAAAUCAAUGAGCUGAGACCUGGGGAGGUUGCAAUUGCCUCUUCAAUGUCUAAAGUUGUUGCCUCUUUAAUGACUUACCCACAUGAGGUAGGACUUGGUGUUUUUGUAAAUACAUCACAAAUCACUUUGCAGCAAAAAUGCCUUUUUCUCACUUGGCUACAAUCUCAUUGUUGAUACCCAUCAGAAUGUCUGAUUGUUGUGUACACCAGGUUGUGCGUUCCAGGCUGCAAGAGCAAGGCCGACUAAGGAACCCUGAGAUCCAUUAUGCAGGUGUUAUAGAUUGCAUUAAGAAGAUUUUCCUUAGAGAGGGUCUUCCUGGGUUUUACCGUGGCUGUGCAACUAAUCUUUUGAGAACAACUCCAUCUGCGGUUAUUACUUUUACAUCUUAUGAAAUGAUACAUAGAUUUUUGCAGAGUGCUAUUCCUCCAGCAGAGAGGCGUUCAAAAGCACAACCUAAACCUGAUAGCAAUAUUGAUUCCCAGAAUAGUACUGCAGGAAAUGAAGCUAAGAGCAGUGUUUCAGAUCAAUCUCAAAAUACAUCUAACCAAAGAACUUUUAUUCCUUUGGCAACUCCUGACAAGCUAACAACUAGACAGUGAUUAUAACCUCUUUAAAACCGAGGUUCCACAAAAUUAAGUGGGUUUUUGUUGUUAUUUAUAGGGAGAUCACUACGAGAAGUGAUCUCGUUUUUGUACUUCUCAGCUAGUUACCGCAAGAGCUUGUUUGUUGUAUUUGUUUGGUGGCUUCGUCUUCUUUCGUGUAAAUUUUCCUUUUUGUUGGAGGAUUCCAAGUUCCAAUACGAAAAAAAAUGGAUUUAUUUUUUCUUGUUCCUGCGGUAGAUUCAUUUUACUAUAAGCUUGGACAAUGUUAUUCAUGAUGUUGAUGUUUGUUUCUGUGCCAAUGCCCCCUCCAUCUUAAACCUUUUGCCUACUCCUCGUCCCCAAAAACAUAGACAGGAAGAGAUAUGCAAGAGUAUUGAAGCUUCGUUUCCUGGUGGUACGAUGGAAAAACUAGACCUACCCAAACUGCCUCCAAGGCAAAGGAAAGAAGAUUUUAACUAAUUUGCAGUUGCAGAAGAUUCAAGAGUCUUGCACUCUGUAACAUCUGUUUCUUUUAAUUCUGCAACAUGUCUCUGCCAUUCUAUCUCUUUCAAUGUCUCCAAUGGUUCACGCAUUUUACGCCUGACCUCCGUUUUCUACUCAAGCUACAACUGCUGGUUGUGUCCAUUGCCAGCUUGAACCCCAGCUUUAGAGUUUUCAGUACACCAUUGCAUUUUCGGAUUCAGGAAUUUCAAUGUGUCGUUGGGAUUUGUAUUAAUCAUGGCCACUGAUUUUUCCUAUAGUAAAUGGGUUGUGGCUAGGUGCCUCUCUAUACCCGAAAGCUUAAAAAACCACAAUGAUAUUAUCUCCAUUGAAUUUAGAGGAAUUUUAGCCGCUAUUGCAUCUCUCAACAGGCAGCCGCGAACUUGCCAUUAGGCUUGACUUGAGCAGCUAAAAGAGUUUUGUUCGUCUUUCAUAGGAUGAACAUGUUACAGCGCCUUGGCUGUUGCGCAUGUUUGCCUUGUGAUUAGUAGUAUUCCUAGGAUAAGUAAGAGCUAUGAAAUUGGAUUGAAAAAAAAAAAAAAAAGCUAUGAAAUUGAGAAACUGUAUAUCAUCCUCAAUAUUCGUUCUCACUCUAGUAAAAGCUUGAAGCAAAGACUGCCUAAAUCCCACAUGGGGCUACCAAGACCUAAGCAUUGUUAUGGCGCAAUUUGCAUAGAAAGCUUGAUUUCUCCCUUCUCAAAUUCCCCAAGAGAUCAUUUAUUUCAGAAAAUUCCAUGAGAUGAAAUCAAAGUUCAAAAGACAGCUGCAUUUCUUUAUGUACAUUGGUAUGCACUUAUAGCUCUUUCACUUUCUCAUACAUGUUUGGAAAAGAAGGGACGGCGGAUCAAAUACAAAAUGCCGAGAGAGAGAGAGAGAGUGUGUGUGUGUGUUAUGAUUCGCUCAUUUGCAGCACAGAAAAUGGGUGUAUUGAUGUGUACUUAAGUUCUAGGAAAAGUGAGCAAGGAUCUCAUCUACUAGCACUAGUAGUAGAGGAGCUACUAGCCCAUACAUCAGCCACGGAAUUCGGCGAAGAUGGACAUUUUACAUUCUUCAACAAUACAAUGUCUUCUGAUUCUGGCGAAGCGACUGUUGCUUUUCUAGACUCAACAGCCUUUUCAUCAGUCUCAUCUGUCUUAUCAAUUGAAGUAUCUUUGCAAUUCUUUAUCUCCUUCAAGGUCUCCACGACCUCCUCCAUUUUCGGCCUCAUGUCCUUCUCAAGCUGCAAACACCUGAAAGCUAACUCUGCUACUGAAGUUGUCAUCCUCCAAACCUCGGUAUCUGAUUUGUAUUCAAGAGAUGGAUCAAUCAACUCAUCAAACGCACAUUUCUGAAUCCUGUUUAUUGCCAAGUUAGCUAGAUUGAUCUCAUGCCUGUGCCUGCUUAUGUCGACUGCUGGCAUUGAUGAUAUGAGCUCAAUGAGGACGACACCAAAGCUAUAAACAUCACUUUUAUCGGUAAGCUGGUAGCAUUGAUGAUACUCUGGAUCCACGUACCCAGGAGUCCCCUGUGGAGCAGUUGAGAUAUGACUGACAUCAUUUGGGAACAGCCUGGAAAGUCCAAAAUCUGCAACUUUGACACAGAAGUUAUGAUCAAGGAGUAUGUUAUUAGUCUUCACAUCACGGUGAAUAAUAUCUGAAUUGUGGAGAUAGGCCAACGCAUCAGCGGUUUCAAUGGCAACAUUCAUCCUGUGUUGCCAGGUGAGGUGCUUAUCCUUGGCUCUAUCACCAUGGAGAUGAUCGGCAACUGUGCCAUUAGGAAUGUACUCAUAAACAAGGAGGAGUUCACGACAACGUCUAGAAGUGCAGCCAUAUAGAGUAACAAGAUUCCGGUGCCUCAGACGGGUUAGAAUUUGAAUUUCAUUCAUGAAUUGCUCCAUUCGCUUGAAGUUGUGCUCAUAAAGACGCUUAACUGCUACUUCUCUUCCAUCGCGAAGCUUGCCUGGAUUGCAGAGAACGAAAAAUUGGCUACAAAAUUAGAUGCUAUAUAUCAUAUAGUUUGUUGACAAAUCAUCUAUAUGUUAGGUUGUUGCAACUCAGAAUUCAUAGUCUUGAGACAGAAUUUUUCACAGUUUUGAGUUCCUUACCAAAGUAUACAGUUCCAAAACCUCCGUCUCCAAGUUCUUUAGAGGCAUCAAAACUAUUAGUAGCUUCUUCAAGUUCAGAGUAGGAGAAGACGGGCACUCCAAAGUAAACGCUGCCACCUUCAAGGUCCAGAUUUGAGGAGGGUUCUGAAGUGUUUCUUGAGAGGAAGUACGAGGCGAAAUUCAUCUUGUUCUUGCGGUGCCGAAUAAAAAGGAGCGCCAGGACUAUAACUAUGGAUGCACUAAUAGGUAAAACUGAAAAACAUAAAAAAAAAGCACAUUUCAAGAUCAUGCUACCUCAAAUUUGGUUUUGACACUUAAUUUGCUGGGGAACAAAAUGACGAGAGAAAGAUCAAUUUCUUGGAUAGUUUUGAGGCGUAAUUGUACUUCUAAACCACAUACAGCAUUGUAGUAACAGUGAGUAUGUAUGUACCUAUGGGCAGAAUGACUUUCAAGUUCUUCUUUCCUGCAUUAAGAGUUAAUCAAAGCAAAGGGGGUCAGUUCGGGCACAAGAAUAGAUGAGGGACUAUAUACUGCAUCCAGAAUGAUAAACAAUCAAGAAAGAAGAUUGUAAAAUUGCCAACUAAGAAACAAAUGCAGGCAGAACAAAUCAGUAAAAUAGUAUUAAUAUGCCUUUUUUAGGAUAGACACAAUGCGGAACCCAGCUCUGACUCCAUUCAAUCCGACACUCGUGUCCUUCAAGUUGACAAUUAGAGCAAUCUUCAGAGAGAUGCCACUCAAGAUCGAACUCAGCAGUCAAUAACUGAAACAAGUCGGCGUUCUCUGAGUAAUCAUGCCGGGAGACUACGGGAAGAGUGACAUUUUUACAGAGUGAUUGAAUGUCUCCACCGAGGUUCACUGGUGGAGCGUGAUGUUCUGGAUUUUGAUAGUAAAUGAUGAAGCCAUUAUUAGGUUCACCACAAUUGUCAUAUUGUUUGUAUCCGCUGAAAGAAUCAGCCAGCUUCUGGCUUGUUUCGGGGCUUCUCUUGCAUCCGUAGAGCGCAAUAUUUGGCAGAAUCGAAUAUGAAAUGGAAGAAUAGUUCGGAAGAGGCAUAACACCAAAGUCGAAAUAUUCGCAAGAUUUUACAGCCAAAAGAUGCUCAAGCUUGUAGUCGUGAAGCCUGAUCACAGAGUUGCGCAUAUCUAAAGCUUCAACCCAUAGAUAUUCUGUAAAGUCAAAUACAAUUGUUGGAGAUUGCAUCGCCUCACAGUUGAGCUUGAGAAGGCCACAAUGAGAAGAAUGUGACGAAUCGAAGAAAGGGAAGCGUACCCCAGUAAGGUUUCCACAAUUAAAACUCUCUGGGCAAGUAGCAUCAGUGGAUUUGCCAUCUUCUUCAGCCGAGAGCGAGAGAGGCAGGACAUGAGAAAUCAAAAAGAAAGCCAAAAACAAUCCAAAACCCAUACUCAUUUUUCCAUCUUCUAUAACAGCAUAAGAGUGGUACGGAGUAUCGGAAGCACAAAAUGAUGGGGUGCUGCCUAUAUUCAACUCAACAGGAAAGGAGCUGUUUCAAUCGUUAAACAAGCAGAGAUUGGCAAAAUUGUGGCCAAAUUUGACUGAAGACCGAUCAAAAGCAAAAAGUUCCCGGGAGCAAUACAUGCAGCAUUCAGAACUUCAGCAUUCACCAACCGGAUGGAUUGGUUUUGGUAGGUGGCACUCAAGAACGUACUCACUUCGAGAUGUUAAAUAAACAGGUUUGUUUCCUUUUCAGGAUAACUCAAACCCUGGAUAACCACAACAAUCUGGAUAAUUUUCUUCUAUGAUCUGGACAGUGUAGCUUAUCUGUGGACCAUUUUCACAAUUUCUAGACUUGCAGGCUUUGUAUCUCCUGCCCACUGGUUCAACUGACUCUACCAAGAUAAUGUGCACCAUAAUAGACAUGACUCUAACACGAAAGACAGUGCUGAUUCUUAGCAAGCUGAGCUGAGCCAUUACUAGAGUGGAAAGGGUCUGUACCAUAUGAUAUCUAAGACGUAUAUAAUAACAUCUGAGCUAAAUUCAAAAUAAUUCAAGUCACCUUCAAUGGUUAGCAUUUUUGGUUUCUUACCAAAGUUUUUACUAACUUUGACAUGGUUUUGUUGUCUCAUUCUUGCGGCACUAUUAAACAAAUCUAGCAUUUUUAUGCCUCAAUUGUAUUCCUUUACCCUAUCAGGGAUCAGGGGUGGCUUAAACAUGUCACUUGAUUUUGAGUCCAUUACAAAAAAAAAAUCGUGCUCCAGACUUCAGACGUAGAAUUAUAUCUUACUGCAGAAGCAGAUAAGCCAUUUUCGCAGCCAAAAAAAGAAAAAGAAAAUAAAACCAGAAAAUUAGGACAAAAUUGAAUUUAAAAAGAAACAAAUAAUAACGCCAGUCCCCGGCAACGGCGCCAAAAAUUGACAGGUCGUCAGCCUGUGCAAUAAUAAUAAUAAAAAUAGAACCUAUCUACCACCAAAAGCAGUCAAUAAUUAAUCCUAGGUACUGGAGCAGGGACUCUAGGUGUGCAAUGGGUUACUUGAUUCACCCUAUUCCCGAAGAGUUUGCUUAACCCGAUAUACCAGAAUUCAUUAAUUGACAAAAAUUACUAAAUAGUAGACAGUGGCAAGUAGGGUCGUCUCCUCAGGGACUGGAGAUAUCUGUCUCUUUCAAAGUCCAAUUGAUAAAGGGGGAUUUCACCGGAAUGCAACUAAAAACAAUUAAACAAUUUAACUAAAAAUGAAUAAAUAACUAGCGCAAAUAUAGCAGGAAUUUAAUCAGGAAUAAAUAAAUUCUAGUCAAGGAUACAACUACUCAGGCACAGUCCAUUUAUCCGAUCAUUGAUGCAGGAGAGGUUCACUUAAUGUAUUAAUAGGCUAGUUAUAGUCUGACAACCAAUUUUUCCUUAAGUUAUAGGUGACCAAGGUACGACCAUUAAUCACCCCUAACCAGAAAAGUACUCCUAGGUACGACCGUAGGAAUUAAUUUUCUAAUUGCAUUAAUAACCAGAAAAACCUAGCCCUAAUCAAUAACACGCUACGAGGGUUAUUUAAAUUAGAUUGCACAUUCCUCUAAUGUGUAAACACACCAGUUGCCACUAAUAUUAAUCAAUCAAACAAUUACGGAUUUAAUUGACUAAAUUGGCACGAGAUUAAUAAAUCAAGUUGAACAUCGGGCCCUUGACAUCCAAUUAAUAAAAUAAUCCCAUGAAAAUUAAAUCAGACAACAUGCAAAUAUUAAUAGAUAAAGGAACACGUGAAAACUAAUUAGAUCUCACAGAUUUUCGGGACUGCGCCGUCGAGUUGACCCUUGACUAGAUGAAAGACUUAGCCACGCCGCAUAAUUAAAUCACCACACGAGUUAAUAAAUUGCGAAGGCAUCGUUUUGUACUAAGAAAUAAGGAAUGAAGGAGGUUUUCCCCGUUGGGGAAUAUUGUCAAGCACCUGGCGUGUGUCAGAGGCCAGUCCAAGGAAAAGAAAGAAAAAAACUAAACUAAAGACUAGGCUAAAAAGCUAAACUAAAAGCGGUCCCUCGCCUCUGUACGUUAGCUCCCUAUUUAAAGCCAAAGGAAAGAUAUCCAGUGGUCCCCACCAAUUGGACACAAGCUGCCGAAUUCAUCUCCUUGUUUUGAGCCUCUGCGCGGUCCCCACCAAUUGGCCACAAGCUGCCGAAUUACUUCUUGUUCCUAAGGCUUUGUACGUUGCCUUUACUAGCUCUUGUAGCUCUUGUGGUCCCAGCCAAUUGAGGCUUUCUGCUGGAGUCUCCCAAAUUUGCAUCCAAAAGUCCCUCUUUUUGUAGUUAUCUGCUCCACUCCUGGAAUUGGGUCCAGAUAUCAAAUAUGAGUAAAUAUCAGCAAUUAACACAAUAUUUGUCCGGGAUAGAAGGGGAAAUUAAUAAUAAAAUUACUAAUAAAUUAUACCCUAUCACCUUGCAAAUUGCAAGAAACACUGGUGAUGGAAUGCGAUUGGUGGUGGUGUUAUGGGCAAGUUGGGAAUCAACUAUCAAGCAUCAGAUGGAUGUCUCAUGCCUUAAUGGUUGUGUGGGAACAGCAUGUGCAAUUUCAUUUCAGUUUGGAAAAUCAUGUUCGUUGUAUUUAGUAAACAUAUUCGGUCUUUUUCUUUUUUUUUUUUUUGUAAAAGAAAAUUUGGUGAAUUUGGCUUCACUCAACGCUACGGAUCAAAGCAUGUCCCAAGUACUGUAUAUCACUCAUAGAAGUUAUUCAAACACACAACAUUUUAUAAAAAAAGUAAUUCGUUUUUACCAUUUGAAUCAACCGUCCAUUUUGUUUUCUUCCCAUCAUUACCAUGAAAUUGACCUUGAAGCUAAAGUGCUAAACAGAUAAACUCAUACUCCUGACAGAUCAAAGAAAAUUAAGAAUGAAUACUUUACAGCUGUAAAAAGUUAAUCAUUAUCCAUCUUCUUUUGAAGAAGUAAUUUUUCUUUUUUUACUUCAAAUAUGUCUUGCUGUCUAGGCAACAUAUCAAAGUGGUUAUGAAAUAGGGACAGGCAAUUUCUUCACAAGUUAGUUUCCUGAUUUUCUCCAACUUUAGUAUCCCUUCUUCUGUUUCACUGGCCCUCUUGGAAUCUUGCUAAGGAUUUUUGAAUCAAAUUUCUUGUACAAUUUCUUCAUUUCCCUCUUCCCUUGGCUUGCGAGAUGAUCCACUUCAUUUUGAUGACGCUCAUAUAAAGCUGGUAAAGUUGCCAAGCUGAGAAAGCCUUCAAAUCCCAGCAAAAAAUAACAAAAGAUGCCAUGCAUGAUUAGUAACUUACAUAUGAUGACACUAAUACAACACUAUUCCAACAACAUCAACAGAUUUUCAUCAACCUUACCAAUGUAUAAGAAGUUCAAAGAGCUGAAAGAGCUUCCGAUAAUUGACAACAUCCAGAGGAAAGUGAUUGCCUGAUUGGAAGUAUACAAAAGAAAAGGAAGGUCAGAAGACAAUGAUAACACAAUCAAUUGGUGGAAAGACAAAAUGAAGCCAGGCAGGAUCCAAAUGACAAUUGAGCGAAGAUGUAUACCAGAAAAAAUGUUUUUAUAUCUUUUCCAGAUGAAAUGUCAUACAAAUUUAACAAUAUCCAGUUGAUUUUGGCAAACAGCCAUCUGAAUGUAGCUUCAGGCACUGUUAUAGCAUGCAAAUCUGGGGGAUUCCUGUAGAGCAUUUGGAGACAGAAAGUUUGGCAAUACAGCUCAGUUAAAACUUAAAGAUGGCGAAACUAACUUGCAAUAUGAAUUGGUAACGCAGUAGAGGUAUUAGGAAAGAAAACAGUACCAAUCAACUAAUCCUGCCCCAGUGGACCAAAUAAACAUAAUUAACAUCAUAAUGAUAGAGAUGUGACAUAGAAGAGUGAUGAAAUUGUAUUCCACCACUUCAAAAAGGAGCCAUAUAAUUGUGACGCCUAUUAGGAUGGUAGCAGAUAACUUCUUGUUUUCCCACAGUAGUAUGUCUGCAACUGCAAUUGAAAAUGCAAAUGUCACAUAAACACAUCUUUCAUGUGCCAAAACAUGUACUUUUGACUCACUUCGUUCUUACAGCGUAUUCCAAUCUGGCAAUCAAGAAGAGGUUUAAUUUUAAGCCUCACACAAAGGACACUAAUCAUUCAAAAAAAAAAAAAAAUGGUAGCAUGUUCAAGUGUGACUGUUAUUCAAUGUAAACAACACUCGUCGGUGAAAGCAAUUUUUCACUUCUGGCGAAACAUGAUUAUGCUAAUUGCCCUUUUCAAUUUUGAGCUCCAGAUGAGAUAAUUUAAUUCAGUUCCUUAUAUUUCUGGAGAACAGGUGUAACGAACGGAUUUUGAAUUACAGGCAUGUUCACAUAUGUAAUUAUUGGGAAAUACUUUGUUAUUUUUAAAACAAUUUGAAAUCAUUUCUUUAUUUCACAUAUAUCACAUUAUUAAUGCGCUUUAGCUUACAAUGACAAUACAGAAUUCUUGAAUUUCUUUGUAAUAAGGCAAGAUGGAGGAGAUAUUAAAACUUAUGAAGCAAACCAGACAAGAUUACCAUAAUAUCCAUGGGAAUUAUACGCAGGAUAUUAUAUGAAAAAAAAAACACUCUUAGGUUAGGUUGUCUGACAUUUGAGAAAUAAUCUUAUAGAGAAAGAAAACUAUUUUGGAAAAGCAAUACAAAAAUUCGUUCGGUUUCGAAAUAAAAGAAUACAUGGCAUCAAAAGUUAAAAUGGUAAAGAAGAACAAGAUAAAAAGUUGAGAAUCACCUUUUCCCCCUCCAAGGAUCUGAUGCAAGGAUCUUUGACGACCAAACAAUCUUAUUGGAGAUAGCGGCUGUUCAUCUGAAUCUGAGGAUGAGCUCGACAUGGCUAAUCGAUCUUCAAACAAAGUAUGUCAAGAACAGUGCUAGCUAUUCAUAUACUUUAGACCUUAUACAGCAUUGUCAUAUAUAUGCUGCAGUAUGAUUCUAAUCUUAGCCACCAAGACACAUUUGGCAAGUAAGAAAGGUAUGGCUUUGGCAUGGCUGAGAAGAUAGCCUCCACUGCAGGGGCUCAGAACUUAUUAAAUUGAUAGCUCAUCUUCAAUCCAUUUUUAGUCUUCUUUUAAUAGCUGAGAACUUUCUUGACUCAUUUAAACAUCCAAGUAAAGAAACCGGUCAUGGAUUCUCUGUGUUUCAUUUGGUAGUUGGCAAUGAUCACAUGAACAGAAAAUAUUAUGGAUUCUCAAAGGAAAUAUGCGGGAGUUAAAAAUCUCUUGUACACUGCAAAUUUGAUGCUUAAGAUAUUUGUUAAGCUCUAUGCACUUAGGGAACUUCUUGACUAUUUCAUACCUAGCAGAAAUUAAUCUUAUUUUGUCACCAUAAUUGAGUACCGGAUCCAUACUAACAAGUGACCACGGUACACAAACAAAAAAUCCAGAGUUGUGGGAACAACAAAUACAAUUGAUAAACAAAUUAAUGACUAAGUAACUCAUUUCAGUAUUGUCUGAUCCAAUGAUUAAAAGUAGAUUGAGAUCAAAAAAUAAAAUAUCCUUCUCGAGCUUAACCUAAACUGCGGACACCCUUCCACCGGAUUUCAACUAGACCAAUUGAAGUAUCAUUGAACCGGGCUGCCUGCCGUGCUGUGGACGUUUACUUUGUUAGAGUCGCAUUUGUCGGAUUUUUUUCAAAUUUUUUUGGCAAUAUUUUGAGGAAUUAGUCCCUUUUUGGUUUUUCCUUUUUUUUUCUGAUAUGUAUAAUUUUACAAGUUUUUAGUCACCAAAAAAAAGGGUUAAAGAAAAUGAAAAGGCAAAUGGGAUGAUGCAUCAAAAAUAAAGAAAAUUUUGACCAUUUUGCAGAGAGAGCGAUAGGCAUGAGCAGCUAUCAUGAUUGCGCUAGUCAUGACUCACACCAUCAUCAUUGUAGCACUCAUGAUUUUAAGGGCACGCAAAUUCUUCCGUUCAAAUAAUCGCAGAUUGAGCUUGUGCACCUUUAGGCACAGCAGAGCCGGAGUGGGAUUUGGGGUGGCUUUUUCACAAGGAGGAAAUCUUUGACCAGAAUAGGAGCAAUUAGAGUUAUAUUGCUUGCUAUUAGCAUCCUAAUUAAUCACAAAAUCCAUUUCAUUGUGAUUAUAUUACUAAACAAUCAUUGAUACAUCACUUUUGCAUUGUUGAUAGAUGCUGGAAAUCAUUAUAGCCUAUAAACAGCCUCCUCCCUAGCCUUAUCAUUGCCAAAACCAAUAAAAGCAUGCAUCAUGAUCUUAAUGACAUGAUAGAACUGAUUUAGAAAAGGACUUGAGCAAGGACCACAGGGAUUAGAACAAAACAGCCCUCUUCAUCAUUUGCCAAGGCGAAUCUAUCAAUGUUGGCAGGAGAAUUCCACAGCAAAAGAGCCUCAUAUCCGAGGUACCUUUUCAUAUUUAUGCUCCAAUCUUCUGACAACUCCUGUAUUGCACAAAUGUAUACGCUGAAAGAGCUCAAGCAAUAGAAGUGGGCAUGCAAGUACCUUGACCUAAGCUGUGUCGGUAGAUCAAAAAAGAAAAUUAAUAAGAAAUGAAGAAGAAAAAGUGCCACAGGCAUUGCAGGAAACUGAGAGAUUGAGAGGUUAACUUCUCCAAGAUUUGAAAGGUUAAUAUGUAUAUUAUAAUUGCAAACUCAAAUUUUUUUUUUUCAUGAAUAGGAUUUGAUAAAUUUACACAGAAAAUUCACUACUACACCAUCCACUAAUAUGAACGUAUACAUUGAUUGGGCCUGCCUCCUACUGGUUGAAUUACAAAUAAUGCUAAUGUUUCGAACCUUGCAUUAGGGAUAGAAGACGAAAACAUCACAGGAUUGACUGAUGUUGCAAGUAAAUUUUGCACUAAGCUUCAGUUCUUUGUUCAACUCCUCUAGAUCCCAUUUAUCACAACCUUAAAGUACUGCUAAAGGAACUACUCCUGUAACAGAAGUGGUUUUUGUAGCCCAUCAUUUGCAAUACUUCAAUCAUGUUCAAGACUUCACGUUCAAGAAAUUGAAGGUCCUAUUAUAAUUGUAAUAAAUUUUUCAUGAACCAGGAGUUUAAAGGGCAACUGGACAAGGCAAAGACUACACAUGUGAUCUGAAAUGGCGGAGCGAGCAUGCCUCCCUUGCAUCACAUCACCGAAAAGGGCAAAACAACUUCAGUUCAGGGUUGGAAGGCCAUCAUUUCAUUCAUUUGCAGGCCAUAAUUUUGGGCCCUGUGGUCAAAAUAAAUACUAUUAUGGACAUAGAAUGCUACUGCAUUUUUUUUUCUUUUACCUAUAUUCUGUCUUUUUUCUGCUAAUUCCUCUUCGUGGUAGUACAAUCUCUAAUGAUGAUUUCUGUUCACGAACAGGGUUUGCCUAAUUAAAAGUGCAUUGCAUUUCCAAUUGUUUACAGUGUCAAAUUUGACAGUAUAGUUGAAGUCGGGAGACCCCAUUUGGAGCUUGGAGUCUUGGACAAAGAACUAGUCAUGUAGCUCCAUCAUGCAGGAUAAUAGAGGGGUAAUAUCAUGAUCUCAUGAAGGACAAUGUGAAAAUGCAGGACACUUUAAAGAGUCACCCUUUUUGACUUUGUGAAUUCUUUAUCCUAAAGCCUUAAAGAGAAAAGCAGAUAAUCUUUUGAUUUUCGAUGAUUUUACUGUCUUUUAAGUACCACUUUAUUUUGCUGUACAAAGAAAGAUAAAUGAGGAGGAUGGGGAUAAAAGAGGGAGCCAAAUAGUUAAAAGGACAAAUUAAGUGCAUUAGACUUUUACUUUUCCUAUACCGAUUUCACAUCGACCCUUUCUUUUUGUUUAUAAAGCUUUUCGUUUCUGAAUAAAAUACAAAGUUGUGAAAAUAUGUUGGUAAACUAAUUUCCAUCUUGUGGGUAUAGCUGUAGUGGGGGAAAACAAUAAUGGUUGAGAAUAUGAUUACCUGUUGAGUUGAGGCUGAGUACCUGGAAGAGAAUAAUGUGGAGAAAAUGCUAGCCUGCAUGCUUAGAAAGAUUACCAAUAAGAAGCAAUCAUUGACAGCACUUAAAAAAGUUGCAAUUGAUUUACCUAUAACUGGACUGGAUUUAAACUUUGGCUUGAACAAGUAAUAGAUUUUUUUUUGCUUGGAUCAAUGGAUGUAAUUCUCAAUGCUAUAUAUAUAUAUAUAUAUUCUUUUUUUUUCUUUUCUUUAGAAAGGGCUAGUUUUCUUCAAAUUAAUCAUACUCUGUGAAUGUCUAAUUCCGUUGAAACAAGUAAGAAUAUCUCUAUCCUUUUCUCAUUUAUUCAUAGCAUGAGGGUUUCUUUUUUGGUACAACAUGAUUUGUGUUUCAAGUUAAUCGUAAUACUUUAGAAAGUCAGUUUCUACAUUAAUUUAUCAAACAUGAUAAAGUAGUCGGAAACAAAAGUAAAACGACAUUAUGAAGCCAAUCAAAAUAAUCUACCGGGAAACAUUGUGGUAAAAUCAAAUUUCAUGUUUGCCAAAUUAGAUGUUUAUUGUGCAAUCUAGUAUUACUUUUUUUUUUCCUUAUUUUCCCCUCUCAAAGUUAACUAGAUUCUAAAUAGGGGUGGGCAAAAUUAUCCACUAACUCGAAAACCCGUCACAUCCGAUCCGAUCCGAUCCGAAAAUUAAGAUAUCCGAUUUUUAUUAUUUGAUCGGAUCAAAAGAGAGUUGGGUACCCGCUAAGAUGCGGAGCAGGUUAGGAUCACAGAAUUAAAAACCCGCGGGUACCCGAUCCGCCCCACAUAUAUAUUUUUUAUUUUUAUACACACACUAUAAAAUAAUAAAUUAGAACUAAAUAAGUAAUUUUAUUGAACAAAUUGCAUUACAAAUAUGAGAUACUAUAGUUUAUUUACAAGAUUUAUUUGUAGAGGUCAUGAUCUUUAUAGAAAAAAGUUUAAUUAAUGCGGAACAUAUAUAUUAAAAAUUGUGCUACUUAUUUCAAACUUUUAUUGAUUUUGAAUUCUUUAAUUUUUUUCCUUUAUCUUAUAUUCUCUUUACAUGCUUGUUUCUUGGUGGAAAACCUUUUUUGUAAAAUAUAAAAUUAAAUUGGUAUAAAUCAUUUUUUAAAAAAAAAUUAAAUGAUAAAUGGGACGGAACGGGUACCCGCUGACCCGACCCUGUCUCAGCGGGUACCCGAUUAUAGGAUACCCGCUAAUAUGCGGGGCGAGUAAGGGUCAGAAAAUGGCUGACCCGCAAGGUACGGGUCGAGUCAGCCAAAUGGUGAAUGGGGCAGGUACCCGACCCGCGCCCACCCCUAAUUCUAAAAUGAGCGUGCAAAAGGGAAAAUUGACUGCUCAUGAGACAAGAAAACAUAUUUUGUAUCCAUUUUCAAGCAAGAAAGCCCAAGGACAAGUCAAAAAGUAACAUUUAAUUAACUAGGGUCACUUUUUGGUAUUUAAAAUAACGAAAAACAAAAAACUAGGAGCUCCUUCUAUAUUUCUUUUGCGGGUCAAGGAAUUAAAAUUCAAAUUCCUCUGUUAAUGCUUUAGCUUUUUUAUUUUAUCAGUAGAAAUGAGUUAUGAGGUAUAACUAGGACUACAAACGAGCUAAAUCGAGUCGAAUAUUGAUCUAAUCGAAUCGAGUCUUGAAUUAGUUUUAUCAAACUCGAACUCGAGUUAGAACUCGACGAGCUGUCAAUCUAAAUCUCGAGCUCAUGUUCGACUCAAAUUCGAGUUGACUUCGAACUCGAAAAAAUAAAAAAUAAUUAUUUUAUUUUUUAAAAAAUAAAUAAAAUAAUAUAUUUUUCUUAAUAAAUAAUUAAAAUUAAGGAUAUAUUUGUAAUUUUACGCGAUCUGCUCGAUUUGUUUGCAGUGCUAGGUAUAAUAAUCUUCAUACUGCAGCCCGAAACCCCUUCCCCUCAAAAGUCCAAACCCAAAAAUAAAUAAAUUAAUAAUAAAAAAAGUAGUCUUGCACAUAUUCUGAAUAAUUAAUUGAGAAACAGAUAAUUUUAUGUCCUUUUUUUAAAAAAAAAAAUUGAUAUAUAUGAAAACACAUAACAUGAUGAAAACUUAAAAAAAAAAAAAAAAAAAAACUCGUAAACGAAACAAAGAAUAAGUGCUUACUUGCUAUUAGAAUUUUCUCAUUUUAAGGAUGACUAAUGAUUGUUGCAUGGUGAAUCAGUGAUGAACUUUUUUAAAAGCAUGAAAUGUUUAAGCCUAAAGUUUUAGCAUAGGUAUGGGGUGAAAACUUUAUCAAUAUCACCACCUCUUUUCAGCCAUCUCCUUCCUCUAUAAAUUGAGGCAACAGCCAAAUCCCACUUCAUCCAUCUCUCUCCAUCUCCCAAUCCCUCUCCCAAACCAGCAAUUCUUCAUCAUCAAAAACAUCAUGAAGUACCUAGCAUUCGUUGCAGUUCUUCUCUUGGUUCUUGGAGGGAUUGAGAAAGCAAAAGCAGUGACUUGCAACCCUUUGCAGCUGAGCCCAUGUGCAAACGCUAUAACAUCUUCAUCUUCACCUACUGCAAUCUGCUGUUCCAAGAUAAAAGAACAGAGGCCAUGCUUAUGCAGCUACAUGAGGAACCCUAAUCUCAAGAAGUUCAUCAGCUCUCCUAAUGCCAGGAAGGUGGCCAACACUUGUGGCACUCCAUUUCCUCAAUGCUAAGAGUCCAUUGAUUAUUUCUGUUUUUAGCAUCUGGUCUUAGUUAUAUAUAUAUAUAUAUAUAUUGAGUCUAUUAUGGUCAUGUUUUGCAUUAUCUAUUCCACCUAGCCUAUGUUCUAUCAUCUCUGUAUCACUGUGGAACUUGUGUGGCGAGUGAUCAGUCUUUGGUGUCAUAGUUAUUAUGGGAAUGGGCGCUGUCGCAGUACAACCAUGUUGUGCUUGCAUUGGACUAUGUUUUACUUUGCUUAUUGUAAUGAAGAUUGAAUAAUUAACGCUAACUCUAUCUACUAUUUUGUUUACGCUCUUUUUUUUUUUAUUAGUGAAGUGGUAAUUGAAGGAUAGAGGCGUCUAUAGAUUACAUUGAGAUACAUGAUCAACAUAUAUAAACAUACUGAUUUCAUGAUGGUACAUGGUCAACCAUAAUUGACAGAUUAAAAAUUUUGCAACAAAAGUUGCAUGCGAUGUAAAUUUGAGUGAGCAUUAUAAACUUGUACUGUCAUCUCGACUCACAAAAAAAUAUAAAGUCGCCCAAAUUUCUAGUUUAAAAUCAUGUUAUACCAUUUGGUACGUAAUAGUCUGCAUAUAAAAUGCUUUAAGUAACAAUAACAAAUCAAAUUACAUUCAUAAUAUAAGGAAAAUUUUAAUAAUGAUCCCUUAAUUAUUUGUUAACAUCACUUCUUAUAACUUUUUUUUACUCGUGCAAAAUGAUAAAAAAUGCUCUUACUCUUCAUUUGGGUUACAAUUUCAUUGAAAAGGGGUAGUUGUAAAUUCAACGCAAAAUGGGAAUUUGACUAACUCACAUGGUCAAAAAGGUCAAGAGAAGUGCCGUUGACAAAUAAGAGAAUGCAAUUAACAUCUCUCCAUAAUAUUAUACCAAGUCAACCUUAUUAAGACUAAAAAUUUUACAAAGUUUAAUUUCAUCAUCGAAUUAAAUAAAGCUCAUUCUUGUUUACGUAGGUUAAAUGGAUCGGGUCUAAGCCACUCCACACCAAUUAUCAUUUUUAAUAAAGAGCCAUCUAAUUUUCGAGAUGGUUUGUAGGUGUGUCUUUCUUUCUUGCUCAAAAUGGUCAUUUAAUUUUUGGGAUUGUUUGUAGGUGUGUUCUUUCUUGCUCAAAAUAGAAAACCAUUUUUAGUGUUUUGCUCGGAGCUUUCUUAAAUGAUUCUGCAAUUGAUUUCUAAGGACAAUGUCAGGGUAAGGUUCAGCUCACAAGAAGUCAUUUUAUCUACUAACAUCAAACAAAGGAAAAACCUCUGAAGUGCAAACCUUUUCCUAUAGAUAGAUACUUACUAUAGAUACAUAGCUCAUUUAGGGCCUUUCCAGACCUUCUAAUUUUCAUCAAAAACAUACCCCAGAAACUAUUGAUACAUAAGCACUACAACCAAACCAUGAUUAGACCUUCAAUUCCUGUUGAUUCUCCAUAUAAUGGGAUGUUGUCAUUCCAAGUCCUUCACUGUUUUGCUUUUCCCAUCCACCUGUAUCUGCCUUGGCAUGAGACCAGUAGUAGAAAAUGGAGCCUAUCAUGGAUAGCAAGGUCAAUGCAGCCCCAGCAGCAAAAACACCUUUGCGAAGGGUAGCACAGGACAAGUCAUUACCACCAAAUAUGCCUCGGUAUUUAGUAUGGUAAGCAUUCCUAGCUGAGCCAGCCAGUAAGCAUGCUUCGGCUCCCAAAAAGCUUACCCUGCCCAUUUCUUUCAGUUAUUAACGGGCAAGAAAAACAAUAAAACACGUUGACACGCUUAGCUAAUCCAAAGAAUUUAUGGAGUGAAGAAUGUAGUAGUCACUAUGAGGUGCCCUGAUGAAAUAAUAAGGAGAAAGAAAGAAAGAACUGAAUGAAACAAGAGUUUGAAAAAUCAUGUUAUUUCAAUCAGCAAUAUCACACGAUAACCAAGCAGCUGCAAAGAAAGAACACUAAGGCAAUGGAAAAGAACAGCAACUGCUCUCGCCAGCUCCAUUUUGAACAAAAUUAAGAGCUUCGAAGAUCAAAUUCUGUUUUGCAGGUGUGCCAAAAAAAAAAAAAAGGCUUAGCCGGGCCUGCAGAAAUUAUUGACUGAAUGAAGCUUUAUUGAAUCCAAAAACACAAAAAAAUGACGAAGAAGGGGAGAAACAAGAAUCUCUACCCUCCAGAACAAAGGAAAAGAAGAACCAAAGAACAAGAGACAACUAGGGGAAUGGCAUAACAAAGGAAGCAAUAUAUCAUGCUUAAUCAAAGCAUGAAAUUUCUGGAUCUGACCAGUCAAAUUAUGAAGCAACCUUAGGGAAUUAGUUUAUACAAGUUCAGCGGAACCAUCCAAAGUAUACUUCAAGAGAAUUGAGAUCAUAAAUGUCAUAAGAAUUUUUAUUUCUAGGAAAUAGGUGACAGAUAAGAAACGCCAAAAAAUAUCUUCACAAAAUGUGAAAACAGGGUUCAGAUUCCACCUUUAAACUUUUGGACAUGCAUAGAAACCAGGAAAAAGUGAAAUAGCUCAACAAGAAUCUCUAGAAUUUUAUCUUCUCACUCUGAUCUAACUUCUGAAUAUGCAUUAACUAUUUUUGCCCCGUAAUUUUAUCCACAUUACUUGGUUACCUAUUACAGAUAUCUUAUCUCAAACUAAACCAAGAAAGGUACACACGUUGGGAUUUCAACGGGAGCAAGAAUCAGGAAGCAAACAAUGCUGAUCAAAUUUUGUUGAAAGACAUCCAGCUUCAUCCAAAUUCACAAAAUUUAUCUACUAGAAAGUAUAAGAAUGGAUGAAACCCUAUUCUCGAACUACCACCCUCAUUGACAGAAGAAAGGAGCAGAUGGGCAAAAUUACAACCACCUACGGGAAUGCAUGUCAUACAAAGCCUGAUUAUCAAACCAAACCAUCACAAGGAACGGCUGAAAUUCCACAUGCAUUUCAAACCAUACGUGACAUGUGCAAAAGUUGAAUAGAUGGAACCAUUAAUUUUCUGUAGCAAUGAAAAACAUGUCAUGACAUGGAACGCAUAACAGGACAGUUCCCAAACUUCUUCAGUUCCAAGUAAGGGCAUGUUUAUUUGAUGAAACCUUUGCUCAAAAUAAUCUUAUGGCCGAUUGUGGAAUGAGAAAACAAUACAUACCCUACCAGAAGAUUUGCAAUUUCUAUGCCAGUUGAUGCAUGAAUUCUACCAUAUAGGUAUUGUACACAUAUUCAAAACAUCACAUACAAAAUGCUCUAAGCAAAACUGCAUACAAUUAUCCGCUAGAAACAGAACCUAAAUGCUAAAUGAUGUCACAAGUUUAUCCCAACAGAGAAUUUGACCCCACCACAAUGACAAAUUAUCUCCUAGCCCAUCCUGCCUGAUUAAGAAUUUAAAAAACCAACAGCCAAACUCCAAUUAUUGCAAGUAAAAAUAUUUCGCAUGCAGCUGUGCAGAUCAUUACUGGAAUAGUUAGUGUUGAGAAUUAUUCUACCAACCAACUAUCACCAGCCAACAGGGAGGUGGGGCCCAACUCCAACUCAUAGACUCGCUGGAAUCAACAAUGCUCCACUCUCCCAGUGGCAAACGUAGUAAAUCCAAAGCAGAAGACAAGGACAUGAUAGUAAAUUGGAAAAAAAAAAUAAACCAGGGAUCAUUACCAAGAAAAGAUGAAGAAGAAAACAGCACAAGUAGUAGACCGUCCACCCAUCAUCCCUUUCCCAAAACACAAGCACUUAGUAACGCCGUUAAGCACCGUUUGACUAAUUAACAGCAACCCAAACGCCGAUAACCCGUAGACGGUCGAAGCAUCCGUACCGUACACGCAGUAGGUCGUUUCAUCGUACUUAUCCGGCAUAACAUUAGCCUUAUCGACCAUUAAAAGCCAGGAAAAAAAAAUUAGAACUUUAACUGAGUUUCCAUAAAACAAAGAGAACCCAGAUGCUAUUUUUGGAAAUGGGGUAAAGGGGUUACCGUGCUUCGACGCCGUUCAGCUCCGAUAGCGAGAACGAAGGCUAUGAGGUGAAGAGAUGUUAUAAUUACCAAAAUGGGGAUGGAAACUCCCAUUUUUUUCAGCUGUUAUCUCCUACUAAUUUCUCACGAACAAGAAGCAACGCACAGUCCUCAAUAACUGGAACUUCUUUUCUUUUUUUGCUUUCUUUAGAAGUGUAAUGUAUGUAUAAUUGCACAAACUUCUUUUUUUUUUUGGGGUGAAGGGAAUUGUUUGUGGGGCUACAGGUUUUGCGUUUUGGAAUACGGAAACUUUUCUUUUUAGGUGGGAUGCCUUUUUUUUCCCUUGUUUCGGCUCGGUGGGUGGGCGUUAUAGUAUAUGGUUUGCUUUUUGGAUGGAUUCGUGAAAAAAAUAACCAAUGCAGCCUGCUGGCUUGAGGAAACUGAAAUAAUAAGGCUUGAUGACGAUAAUUUAUCAGGAAUUUAGGAGAGAGGAAAGGUGUCGGUGAGGGGAACUCAUGGGGCCCAGUUGUUUUUCAUUUUUUUUUUUUUGGUGAGGUUUUGCUGGUUUCUGGCAGUAUUAAGUAAAGUGUACUUUGUUUAAGUGGAAGGUGAAUGUAUGUGGAAAUGGUUUGGCAAUGCAUGAUUGGACCAUGACAUAGUUGAUCUGUACUCGAAGACGACGACAGCUGCAGCAGUACUGAUACUUUGACUUUAAUGACUUUGAUUGAAUUUAGUUUCUGAGAGCCACCUAUGGCAUUAACAUUUAUUGUGUUUAGUUUGGCUACCGCGGUACCCAUGCUAGCAUGCUACUGUCCAGUUGUUCCCUUGUUUUCUUCCCUUGUUUAGUCCAAGUAUUUUCGAUGUUGCUAUCGAUGCACACAAUUAUGUACAGUAAAAGAUGUAUUCGAGGUUCGAUUUAAAAUUAGAAAGAAAAAUUUGCUAAAUAGCUACUUAGUUUAGACGAUUGAAUGGAGCCAGUUUAACCUUGAAGCCUUGAUCUGUUCGUGGAGGAUAUCUUUCAAUACUAUUGUAAAUCUCAGGGAUAUGGGUAUCUUUGCUCUCUCGUAAUGAACUUCUUCUUGGAGAACAUAUUAAUUAAGAUGAAAGCACAAUUUGUUUGUUUUCCUUUUGUUUUUCAUAUCAUUGUUGGCUAAGCCACUAAAUGCCUAAUCUUCUACAUUCUUGCAACAGCACCACACUCUUAUUUUAUGUAAACGGACUUUUCAAUCUGUAAUGCUUUUUUAUCCGGGGAUUCACCCCGUGUAAAUAAACAUCAUUGGCUGCUUUUGAAGGAAAGGAACUCAAAAGCAUCAUCCCUAGCUCAAAGUACAAAAAAAAAAUUGAAAAGUAAGGACGAGAAAUAAAAGGUAAAACAAUAUGCAUGGCAAAUUAGAACCAAUCAUGCAAAUGAACCAUGAAAUGCAAAGGGAUCAUGCUAAGUAUUUAACUAGCCAUAGCCUGUAGAUGUAUUUCUACCUUCACAGAGUCAAUUAACAAGAAGUUCAUACAUGUUAUUAUCACAGACCAAAUCAUAUUUGAAAACUGAAAUUUGAUGAAAGCACAUUUCACCAUCUAAGCACUAAUAGAUCAGAUCCUUGAUGAUUGAUCAAGUUUUCUAAUGCAUCAUGCCCUUCUUCUCUCCGAAGUACUCCUCCCAUGCCAAAGCCUUUGGAUGCCUCAAGUGUGAUUUAUAUGAUAGUUAGAGAUGUUGAAUUCGGCCGGCAUAAACAAACUCUGACGCUCCCAUCUGGUCCGAUCGCUUCUGUACAAGUUGGGAUAAUCUGUGAUGCUCCAAAAACAUUUGGUACAUCUCAAUCUAACGUUAUACGACCAAAAGAAUCCAUUCACUCUGUCAUUGAUGUACAAAUAACACCAUCUCAUUGGGAAAGCGAUUUGUGUGAAAUUGUAUAUGAAUCUUUCUCCUUUCCUCAGUUCAUGCAAACCCGUAUCGUUUUUUGACAACUUGCACAUGUAAUACACCGUCUUGUCACCAUCAUUGGCUAUUGUAAUCUCUAUUGUUGGGAAAAAGAAAUCACGGAUUGAUUCAAAUAUGGUCUUUCUGCGCCCUCCUUCAUCGGGUUCUUGAUCGUCUGAGGCAUUGGCAUUGAAGGAGAGGAGGAGGAUGAUGGCAACAAUGGCAAAUGCUGAAUUAUUCGCCAUUGAAAAGCCAAUGGGAGGGAGAUGGUGCCCAGGAAGGCAGAUGGGAAUGUAAUUAGUGGCGAAUAAGAUUGUAGUUUGAUUUGCUUUGUGUGGCACAAAUUAUUUUGUGCUUGGAUUCUCCUUGACUUGCUCAUGCCUAAAGAUAGCAAAGUCAAGGAAACUUGAAAUACAUUGGACUUUGAUCUUAGUCCACUUUUUAUUCUACCACUACUAUAAUAGGGAGGGACUUGUUGGUCCCUCUUGACGUUCAAUUCUCCCUUUAUCUAAUAGAAAAGUCGAUUACAUAUUGAAAUGGUUUUCCAACCAACAAAAGGAAAUUAUUAUUAUGAUUUACAAUAAUAUAAGUAUAAUAAAAAAGGAGUUAACAGAAGUAAUUAAAAAUAUUAUGAAAGAGACAAAGGAGUUGGUUUAAUACCAAAAAGGGGUAAAGGAAAUAAAAAAGGUAAAUCUAGUUUAAGUUUUAUAUGCUUCUUGCUUUCCUUUCUUUUUUCUUUGUGUCUUCAUGAAAUGAAUAGACGUCAAGAAGCUUCCUGGUUCCCACGAAUGGAACAUACUUAUAUUCUUGAGUUUUUUUUUUCAAAAAGGAAUUUACUCUUAUCUUAGAAUGAGCAUAAAAAUGAUGCAAAGUGUUAAUAGGUUUGUAACUACAUCUAUGUAUAAUUGUUAUACAUAACAAAAAAAAACAUUAUUAACAUGCUUUUCUUUUUCAAAAUAAAAUUAAUCAGAAGUUGGAAAAUCUACUUCUUUAGUUUUUCAAUAAAAUUGGUACAAAAAUCACAAACAAACCCUUGUACAUAGAUAUAAAAAAAAAUCAAUUUCUAAAGGGCCGUUUAGCAACGUCUAGGUUUUGUGUGUCUCUUAUUUUGUUUGAAGAAUUACGCAAAAAUAAUAUAUAUAUAUAUGUAUGAAUAAAUCUUAUAUACUAUCACCGUUAGAUCCAUGACACAUGUACAAAAAUUGAAUUUAAAAUUUAAAAUUUGCAUAAUUAUCAUUCAUCCAACGCUGACAGUGUAUACACUGUUAAUGUCGGAAAGAAUAAUCCACAUGUGUGUGUAUUGUUUGCAUAUUUCAACAAACAGCAACAUUUCAAAUAUUAGCCUUAUCUUUAAAACACCAAAAAUGUUAUUUUUAACUAUUUUUAAAAAAUGUUAUUGUUUUUAAAAUCAAUGUUGUAAAUUGUUUCAUUUCCUACAUAUACUACUAUAAGAGUCGUUGUGGCUUCAACACCAAGGCCCAUCAUUCGUCUACCUAUUCGGCUAUUUCUGUGAUUUGGAGAUCAUUAAGGUGUAUGUUCUAAGCACUUUGCACACCUUUUGAUGCUUUGGUAAUGUGUUGAUUUCUGUUUUUGCCCUUAACUGUUAGUUGUUCGGAAAUCUUUCGCCCCAUUUAGUUGUUCAAUGAUUGCUUUAGUUUGUUUGUGAAUUGCAUUUGUGAAUCAGUUCGGUCCAUUUGUAAAACCUUGGGCCGUACUUAGCUGUUUGGUGAUUGCAUCAGUGUUGUUAAACUUGGAUGAGACCCUCCUAAUCGAAUGUAAAACGACUUUCUUUUCGAGUUGGUUAAUAGUACAAAAUUAAUUUGGUAAAAAAUCAAUCAAAAUCAUCAAAAUUCGACAAAACAAUGACCUAGUUCGAGUACUUGACUCAAUUUUCAAACUUUUCUUCCUUGUUUUCCCAAAAUAUAAUUUAAGUUACCUAAAUUAUAAAAUUUUCAUUUAUUAAUAGGAAUCAGAAAAUACCACUAGGUAUUUCAUUUUCCAAAAUGAUAUCUAAAUCAAGAAGUUUUAAUCCCUAUUUUGUAGUUUAAAGUCUGCAUGGUUGUCUACGUAUUCAUUUUUUUGCCAACCAAUGCAUUCCAUAUGCAGUGCUAAAAGUGGUUCUCAAAACUGUUUUUAUACAAGUAUCUUACAGUAUUUGCUUCAUGGAACUCAAAUUUCGGUCCAAACCGUGGUGCGAACUACAGUCUCCGGCAAAUGCCUAAAUUGCAACUUCUGGAACAUUUGGAAGGCAAGAACCUGGAAAAAUGUAAACUUCAGAAUACCUAAAUAUUCCUGAAUCCGCAAUAUAAUAAGUACAGCAUAAAAAAGAUACCUUUUCCUACCAGAAACCUGCCAGACCAACUCUUAACUAGUCUCAUAGCCAUAGCUACAGAUAAGAUGAAAUGGCAAGAAAAGUUUGUUAGAUAUAAUACUCAACAAAAGGAAGAUGGAUGGCAGAUCAUGUGUUGCAAUCACAUUAACAAAUGCUCAAAAUACUUGCUUUAAGGCAAAAAAAAAAAUCAUUUGUUGGAUUUAGACAGGUGAGGUUGAAAGAGGGUCACGACAAUGAAACAAGACAGUUCAAUGAUCAGUGAGAGAUUCAAAUUAUAAGAAUCCUGGAAAAUAAUAGAUUACCGGUUAAAUGCAGCACUUGCUUAAACAGGUAACAGGUGUCUUUUCCAACGCUUGGCAUUGUAAAUUUUCAAACUGCAUGAAUCUGGGUUCUUGAUUCUUCAUCUUAAUUAACUGUCCCACAGAACUCCUGAUUCUCAAUCACAUAAAGGCUCCUUAACCAAAAGGUUCAUUUUUUCCAGAAGAAAUUCAAGUACAUCUUCUCUCCCUUCCUUCAGAAGCAGAUUUCUUAACUUGCCAAAAGUCACUCUUCCUGGACGAAUUCCAUUCUCUAUCAUCUCUUCCAUUAAGACACAAGCCCUAGAGGCAUCCGCCUUGUCACAUAAUCCAUUGAUAAGGGCUGAUAUGGUAUGCAGGCUAGGAACGAACCUUUUCUUUUUCAUGUACUUCCAUACCUUGAAAGCCCUCUCAAGCUCAUCCCUAUCGCAGAACAUCUUUAUCAUCACUGUAUAAGUGUCUGCAUCUGGCUCACAAAUUUUAAUCAUCCGACGAAAAACUUUAAGAGUUUCAUCAGUCUCCCCACAGCCAAUCAAACUGUUUAAGAUGAUGUUGCAAGUUCUUGAAUUGGGAGUCACCUUUUUGCCCUCCAUCUCAUCCAAAACCCUGUAAGCAUUCUGAAACUUGUUAACUUUGCAGAAAGCACUAAUUAAGGCGUUAUAGACAGCUACAUCAGCCUCCACUCCACUACUUUCCAUUUCAAGGAAGGUAUCUACAGCAUCUUCAAUCCGAUUGUCUAUACCAUAUGUAUGAACCAAAACACUGUAUAUAAAUGAUGUUGGCCUGCAACCACUGAAUUCCAUCUCCUUAACUAUUUCAACCGCUUCAUCAACCCUACCUGCUUUGCACAGGAUAUCAACCAUAAUCCCAUAAGUCACAAUGUCAGGAUCACAGCCUGCCUCCACCAUUUCUCUGUAAAUUUCCCUUGCCUUGGGCAGAUUGGGAGCUCUUCCCCAUCCCUCAAGCAAUAUGCUAUAAGUCUUUGAGUCAGGAACAAAUUGACCUUUCAUGUUAUCAAAAAUUUCCUGAGCCUUUCUCACAUUUUUUGAUUUGCAUAAAGCGCUCAAUAAGCCAUUGAAUGCUGCUAGAUUUGGAGGCACAUCAUAUUUUUUCAUGAUAUUAAAGGUGUACACCGCCUCCUCCACCUUCUUUGCCCUAGCAUACUUCCUCAUAAUGAUACAAAAUGUCUCAAUAUUAAGCAUUUUCUUACUUCUCAUUGCAUUCACAAGAUCCCACAUCAACUGAUACUGCCUUAUCUUAGCUAAAGCCUCAAUCAUGGUGUGGUAUGCUUUAACACUAUGCUCAUAAUUACGCUGCUUGCCUGCCCAGUCAAAGAAACGGUAAGCCAGCACUCCAGCAUUUUCAAAUCUCUUGAGUACUUCCUCAGCAAUUUCAGGGGAAACCCUUAUCCCAUUCUGGUCAAGCUCAGUAUCAAGCCCAAGUUUCGGGCAAGACAUCAUAAUCUUACAUACCCUUUUUACCAUAUCUGAACUAUCCUGCAAGGAUUCUCUUGAACUGUACAUUCUACACAAGAUCACUCUUCGGAGACAUAAUUUACCAAGAAAUUGCCUUAGCCUCAUAUUCCACCAGAGCAACUUAAGGGUUCCAAAACGCCUAUCUGACUGAAAGAUAAAAAAACAAAAACAUCAGUUAGUCACACAGCUUAUGCUCAUAUGCAGCAAUUGCUUUAUUUUCUUUUUCUUUAUUAACAUUUACAAUCCUUUUUCUGUCUACUUAAGUGGGUCUGUGCAAUUUCAGGCCAUUAAACAUUCUAUGCUUGACCCAGCGGAAGGUGUCCUCAUUCCAAUCAAGUUGAGUCUUAAGGACACAAAAAAAUUGAAAAAUUUUGAUAAAAAACAAAAGAAAAAGCUUUGAGAAAUGGUUAACGACUGGUACAUCCCAAGAACAGCUAGUUUGCUGGACAAAAUAAUCAAAAUGGAAACUUUGAACAACAACGAAUACCCAGUAUGAGUUAAGCAUUUCAUCGAAUGAGUGGUGCAUAACUGACUUUGGGCAGUUCUUUUUCACUAGGCUUCUACCUGUUUACAAAGAUACAGGUAUCGCAACUCACAUAAACACAGAACUGGAUAUCAUAUUCCUGUAAUUUGAUAGUGCUUCAAUCAAUUGAAAACAAAACAUUGAAUACCGUUUUUAAAAUGAAAGCAAUUCUUAAGCAUAAAACAAUUCAUAUUGACAUAACUUUUUCUUGCAAGGUGCCGGGGUCACCAACCUAGGAGAGCCUUAGUUAAGUAACAAACUCGAAAGUACAACGUUUGCGUAACAAGAAUUACGCUCUUUUUUUUUUGUGCGAAUUGCACUCCUUUUUUCGAGUCAAUUUUGUGGAAGAAAUGAUACUCUCAGCAAAGAUUCAAGUCUGUAACAAACAAGGCCUAAUACCGGAUGGCGUUAUCAACCUUUUGCACUUUUCUUUCUUUCAUUUUUCUUUUUUACUCGCCUUUGUUUUGGACUAAUCUUCCCAACAAUAUAAACUUUUUGGGUUUGGCCAACAGAUACCAAUGCAGGGUUACAUUAAUUUUGAUUGUGUAUUAAGUUAGGUGUGUUUUAAGUGUGUUAAUAAUUGAUCAUCAGACAUUAAUACAUAUUGUAAACCUUUAUUCAAAUUCUAUUUUUGUCAUUUUUGUAAAGGAUAAUUUCACAAACAUCUCGGCUCCCUUCAAGUUUUAUAAAUUACAUUGACCUUCCUUGUCACAAUAAAAUGGCUAUAAAUUACAUUGACCUUUACUUAAUAAAUAAUUCACAGUAUAAUGAAAUGAGAUUAAAAAAAGAAAAAGAAACAUGACUUUUUGGCCUAUCCUGUUUACAAGUUGCAGCUAAUGACGAUUCUCUCUUAUUUACUGUCACUCCAUUCUCAUCCAUCAACCUUUUUCUCCUAUAACUCGCUCUCAAAUUACCACCAACCAUUGCCUAUAACUAAGCCAAUCACACCACAAGUAAUCCCUCAAACUCGACUAUAUAUUCUUAUUUCUCCUUUCUUCACUUUGGAAUUGCCAAAUUACAAGUUUAAUUGAGGGACUAGAUUUGAUCGUUGAAAUAAAAUCCGAUAUCAUGGUCAAAUUAAUAGGAGAUGACGAGGCACAAAAUAAUAAUAAAAUAAAUAAUACAAUCAUUGGCCAGAAGAGGAAGAGGGAUUGAAAUUGGUAAAUUUAUUUAUUUGUCUAUCAUCCAUUCAAAAAACUUUUUAAGAUGUUAAUAAGUACAUUUAUAUUUCUUUUUAUACUUGACAAUUGUUGGUUAUGGUUUCGUUAUGGAAAUAGAGUUUCUUCUUUGUAUUUAAAAUAUUAAUAUGUUUGGAGAUUUGAUGGUAGGCUAGAUUAUUUUGUUUUGAAAAGGUGUGAGUAUUGGGUUUGAAAUUAGGGUGUGAUUAAUUGUAAUAGAAUUUUGAUUUUUGGCAAAAUGAAUUUCUUGAAGAUGUCUAUAGUCAUAAUGAUGCCUUCCGCUUCUUAAACUUGAUUAAACCCAUCCAUGCCUAAAACUCAUGUAGCAGGAGUUGAGCCACUUAUAUGAAAUCAAACCAUGGCAUUCUAUGUUGAAGAUUAUGCAAACAUAGGAACAGCUGAUUGUGAGUUUGACCAUUCCAUAAAACCAUAUGGUAAGAAUAUUUCUAAAGGAUGGAACAAAUCUUUAGAAUUGAAUGCAUGUUUUGGGAAGCAAAUUUAUGACUAUGAUGAUGGAAUUGCUUGGGUUUAGAAUUUGGAAUUAGACUAUUUGUUAGGCUAGUUUGUUAGUAUAGUGUCUUCUCAUCAAGUCUAGACAAGCUGGCCUGCUCGUGAAUGCAGUCUACAAAUAUUAAAAAGAGGCAUAAACAUGAGUGAUUAUCAGUAUAGCAACCAAGGAAUGCACAUUCCAAGUCAAAGCUAUUACCUUGAGGCAUAAGCAACCAGUUUAGUGCUUGGUAGCAUAGUCAAAGAGAGCGUCCAUGUCAUCAAAAUAUUUGACUGUGAAGCGUAGAAAGGCAUAGAGGCAUAGCUCAAAUUUCCAUUUGUUUCGCAAGACAAGCAUCUAAUUCUCACGAAUCAGAUUGUUAAUACAAAUAUGAACGUCACCCUUCUUGAAAACAUUUAUCCUUGAUGUUUAUUUCCCAACUGCAAAUGCCAUGAUAUAAUUUAAUUGUCAUGUCAUCCUGGGAUUCAAUUGAAUCAAAAACAGUAGCUGAAAUGUCCUAUAAGAAAAAAAGAAAACAUGACCUAUGUCACUAAGAAAUAAAGCUUUUGCCACUAAGUUUCAGGACUGCAUGUUUAAAAAUACGCAUGGAUUAAGGGCCAUGGAAGACAGUAGACUGAAGGUGUAUGAAAAAGGAGUUCAUUAGGUGAGUUAAGGGUGAUUCGGGGUGUUCAGGUAGUUAAAAAAUUUUAGCCAUGGGAUUCAUGAUAACGGUGUUUAUCUCAAGCUUGACAAUGGUGGAAAGAGGAGGAGAUCAAGUAUAGGGCAUUCAACUCCUAAAAACACACUUCUAAUGAGAGAUGAAACAAAUAUGCUGCUCAUGAGUCCCUUGAAGGAUAGGAAGCCUCAUUCAACGAGGCUUCAUCAAUUGUAUACUGAGACAGGAAAAAUUAUUACUCAUGAUGGAAACAGAUUAAGAUUGCUCCCGAAGAGCUAUGGUGCUGAUAUUAGAAAAUCCCAUCAAAUAGCCCAAAGCACAAGAUAAGAACUUCAAAACUGGAAAAACAACUCAACCACUUGAGGCACAAGAGAAAAGCCAAAAGAAAUUCAAAACUGGAAAACAACUUAACCAAUGCAGGCAGGAAAACACCCCAAAAGAACCACCACACGAGACGAGAGAAAAACCAUUUGUAAAAGGCAAAAAAAAAAAAGGAAUCCUUGGCAAGAAGAAAAACAAAUCAUAAAAGAAGGAAAAAAGACAAGAACUUUUUACUGAGUAAAAAAGAAGAAUUUUAGGGGCAGUUGUAUAAUUCAGCAGAAACUGCAAAGCAAGGCUAGCUUGUCAAUCACAAAUUAAUCAGUGAAAUAGAUAAAAACAAAGAAAAGGAAAAAUAACAAUUUAUCAAGAAUUGUAGCUGAGCACCACAGGCAUCAAAAUGAAACUCGUCACACAAGUCUUUACUCAAAGGAGCAUCCUGCAGCUAAACAAAUAACAGAAAUGACAUAAGAAGAUUCAGGAGAAGAAUCACCAGACAAACCAAAAAUCAGGACAUUAGAAAAACAAUUGAAUCACUGCAACUUAUUAGUCUAAUUAAGUGUUGUCUUGAGAUCUCAAUGUUUAUAUGUCCGGAAUGAGUAGAAGUAUAAAAUAUCCAAAAAUCUUUACUUGACACGAGAGCAAGAGAUCAUCAUCAAGUAUUUCCAAAUGAUUGCCUAUGGUGGCCAAUCUUCAUGAGUCCAGAACAGAAAAUGAGAAAACCUCCAUAAAAUGUACAUCAAAAAGGCUAAUGAGGGAUUUAAACAGAUUAAAUUAUCUUUUUUUGACAAAUAUAUAAAUAUAGCCUACCAAACAGUGACAGGGAACACUAUGGCCUCAUAAUGUGCUAAGGUUGUAAAAAAAACCUACUUAAAAACUGACAACCUAUGUCACAUUUUCUCCACCAAAUAACAGAAAGAUAUUUAGAGAAUCAUGAAAAAUUUUCAACACUUAAGACAAUUAGAAGUAAGUCCUAGACCGUAAACUGGCACCUCAGCACAAAACAAAGACACAACUCAAAAGAAUGUACAAUCAUCAAACAAACUACUCAACUAAAACAAGCCUAAUUUGAUCUUGAAACAGCUUGCCAAAAAAAAAAGACGGAGGACCCGGAGGGGGGAGGGGAGAGGGGAUGAGAAGGCAUACUAUUUCCAAUUGGGAGAGAGCUUCUUGCUUACUUGAUGGUACAGAAGAAUCUCAUGUGCAAGUUCUGCCGGCUCAAAAAAAUCCCUAUGUUAUUAUAAAAGCUUUAACAAUAAGAAUAGAAAUGCAACAAUGAAGAUGAUGUUGGUUUUUUUUUUCCAACAAGUGACAAUUUUAAACUAUGCCAUACCUCAAGUCACACAAAAUAGUACACCAUUCUGAGAUGUUGUUGUUCCUCUCUUUGCCAACUUGCAGAUGUAAUCUUCAAUCUAUCCAAUGUACACCUAACAAAAAGAAAAAAGAAAAACAAAGCAGUAUGAAACACAUAUCUGUACAUCUAGAAAAGUAGUUAAAUAAUGGCAGCUACCCCUCUUUCUUUCCCCGUCAUUUGCCAAAUUUGUAAAACUUUAGUCUAAUGUAUUGCAAUGAGUACAUUUGAUUAUAUCCAUUAGGAACACAAUGAUGCUUUGGAUAUUUGCUAAACUGAUACAGGUCUCUGUAAAUUGACAUGUGAACUAACAACAAAAAACGAAAUGUUCCAGGUACAAAUGCUAUUUGUUACUUUUAAAGUCAACUUCCAAGGAUAAAAUGGAAAAUAUGUUGCUGCUUGUUAACAUUAAGAUGAUUUCAUUGAUUUCUCAAACAUCCCAUGAUUAGAUUCCAUUUCAUUUAUAGAAAAAAAAAUAAACGAACAAAAGAAUGCAAGAGGUGCAGUUGUCAAAAAUGAUUGCUGUACACUUACAUUUGCCAUUAUAGUAAGCAAGUUUUAGCCUACCUUGCUUAUAGAAUACUAUCCUUACAUUUCAUUCAUCUAGGAUAACAAAAAAUACUAAUAACCUAUAAGACUUGGAGCAUGCUGUGUCCUUAAGGGAGGAAAAAGGAAAAUCACCUUCACCUAACAUCAGGGCUAGUAAUUUACCACCUAAUGGAAAGAAAACGUGUGAAAAAGAUCUUGAUCAAAAAUAUUGUACAAUAUAGGGAUGCCCUCAGAACAAUCAACUCUAGCAGCUGAAACCACAUGCAUGCGUUUGUACAAAGCCAUACAGUGCUAUAAAUUGUAAAUCUAAUAGAUUUUUUUAAGUAACCUAUUCUGUUCUAUACACACCAACUACAUCAAUUAUCAAUUGCCACUGCUGAGCGCUGAGAGUAUUGACAGAAGCAUAUUUAAGUAUGGUGCAUGACACAACAUGCAAUUGAUCUCAUGAAUCAGUACAGGUCACCUUAAAAACAAGCAAGAGGAUUAUAACAGAGAAUUUCUAAGCAUCGACAUUCAAACUCCGUUUACACCAGAUGCUUCAUUCUCUGAGAAUUUAUCCACAGGAUCUAACACCUAAUGAGAGAGACAGCGAGUGGGUCAGUCAUACAAAGAAAGUAGCAACUAUUUGUUAGCCUGUGAGAUAUCAAUUGAUGUGAUUCAUAAUACUACUCACAAAGUCCACGUUAAUUCAACUUUAGUUGAUUUGAAGAGAUGAAUAAAAUUGAAAGGUAACUAACAUCUUGCUUCUUCUUCUCUAACGACAUCUCAUAUUGGCACCAUUGACUAACCAUUCACAAAGAAACCUGAUAAUACAACCAUGCUUGUACUACCGCCUAACUCAAUUGGAGUGAUAAUAAUCAGAAGAAUCUCAUCAUUAAGUAUUCUGCAACAAGAUAAAAUGUAAAAAGCUGAUAUGGAUACUCCUCAAUCCGUCGCCUACCCAGAUCAUGCAAAUGUCCCACCAAAUUCCACUGCAGAAAGUUCCUCAUUUCCACAUAUAAUCAUCAAUUGUUCACAUUCAUAAAUAAUUCACACAACAUAGCACCAGCUUAUUUGAUUUGAAAUAUCACACCGUUUUGUAAUGUAGAGACCAUGAGUAACCUCACAUAAAAAAAAAAAAACAAAAAUAAGAACCACAGACUGUAACAUAGUAAGACCUAAAACCAGUAUCAAGGUAAGUUAAAAUUUCACCUCCCUAUUCCUUGUCUAAUCAAACAUCAGCAGUAAACCUCCAUUUUCUCAAGACAUUAAAGAAAUCUCCAAGUUCCCCCAAGGAAAAUAGCAACUAAAACAUACAAGCGUUGAUGCACCCCUACACUACAAAAGAAAGCAAUAGAGUGUAGAGCUUUUAACCCACAAAACAAAAGAGUGAGUGAUAUCUUUACCACUUCCAGGAAUUGUUUGUUGAAACUGCAACAGCUGACUUCAUCGUUUUGUGCUUGCCUUAGGUCCCAUCCCCAAAUAGUUUGUCACCAAGCCCAUGAUGCCAAACCUAGGUAAAUUGGCAAAUGCAGGGAUAGGUAUGCCAGCAGGGUUAGGUUACAAUAAAGAACACACACUAUAAACAAUAACCUAAAUAAAACUCAAAACAAAAUUGAGACUCUAUCACACAACAAUACUAUCUUGACUGAUCAAAUUUGCAAAUUUAAACAACAGCACUCUCUGGCAAAUGUUAAUUACUGCAAAACCUGAGAUACGUUAUCAGUUAUUAGCAACGCUACAUCCUUUAACAACAUUGCAAGGAGUAUGAGAAUCAUCCUAAAAUCACUUAGUAUCCUUAAUCAAGAUAUCAAUGUAGAUGCUGGGGAUGCUAGGGACACUGAUACCGAGUCUGAAUUUCUAGCUACCUUUACCAAGAUAUUCAUCACUUCCGGUUUUCAUUCUAUAAUUCAGCAUUUUAGUCAUUUCGUAGUCCAUCAUGGGGAGACUAAUAAACUUCAUGGAGAACCGAAAGACGAUAUCAACAAAUUUCACAAUCCUGGCAUCAUUCAUCUCUUAUAGAAAUAAAAAUGACGAAGCUUUUGCUUUCCACCAAAAGGCAUAAACUGAUUGUUACCUAAACCAUGAAAAUCUGCAACCUUUAAGUCAGCCUGUGUCUAGUCACAAAACUUAAUUAUUUACACCUCAAAAGGAACUUAUAAGAAUUAGGAGUAAAACUAAGCUGCGCUGUCACACUUGCACCAAGACAUUCCACAACCUCCAAGUAACUACUUACACAAACCCCAACAAACACAUAAAAUACCAAAGCAAAACAUUCGCAUGCAACAAGAAAUAAGCAACUAAAACCAUAAGCUGAAAACUAUGUAGACCAUAUAACUCACUCUGACAUAACAAUUCACGCAGAAAACAGAUUCCUCACAUCAGUAUCCCAGUUAGUAAUUUCCCAACGCAAGAGCAAAAUCCAGAUGCUCCCCGUGAAAUCUAAGAUAUUUAACACUUACUCCACUUCAGUUGCAACUUAAGCAACGAAACAUAUUUAAGUAUCUUACAAAUUCCCAGAUUUAUGUCUAACCCAAGAGUAGUUUCAAAUUAGGGCACCAAUAGCGAUUAAACGCAUUAAUCUAAGCAAAUAAAACAUAGAUACUUCAGAGCAGGAAUGAGCCAUUAAUGAUAAUAAUGAGAGGGAAAAGAGAAAGAGAGAUGGAAAUGCUUACAUCAUGGCCAUGGAUAUCUGUUUGAAAUCAUGUUUUUCUUUUUGUGGGAAAUGGAGAAGAAUUGCCCAAAAAAUUUCUAAAAUUUAAGCGAGAAUCAAGGAAACUUUAGCUUUGCGGUUGAUCGGAGAAGGAGAGAAGAGGGGAUUGACAACUUCUUUUUAGAGGAGAGGGUAUAAGUGGGCUGGAGUUGCGGUGUGGAGGGAUAUGAGAGAAUUUUUUGUUGGAAUUCUGCCUAGCUGCGGCUGCGGUUUAGAGUUGAAAGGAAACAAAGGAAAAAGGAGGAAGAAAUGGAGAGUGGGGAGAAGAAAGAAAGAAACACGUGUCCAACUCCUUAAAUCUGAUGGCCUUUAAAAAUCACGAGCAACUCACGAGGGCCGACGAAAACCAAAAAGUACUUCAGAGUUAAAGAGCUCUUCGGCUCUUAUUCUGUAUGUGUUGAAAAUCUGCGACACCAUGCUCUAGGGUCUAUAUAUUUCUCAACAGUCCUUCACGCAGAAGCCAUUGCGUCUAAUCCCAUCCGUCUGUCACCUCUUCCGUUCAAGUGGUUCAACCCUCCCCAUGCAGGGUCUGCAGCUUCAAUAUCUUCCUGUUGCUCCAUCUCCUCCUCCUCUUGCUUUGAGGAGGAAGGCAUCCAAUUACCGUACUUGGAUUAAAUCCACCACCCUGCCGAUGCCUCGUACUUGGAUUAAAUCCACCUCCCGCCGUUCUCUGUAUGUCAUUCGUGGUCGUGGUGCUCUAACUAUCCCCAAUUCAGGAAGCUCUUGUCCACCUAGUGACUCAGGGAACUCCUCACCGUCUGGUACGUCUAAAUUUGCUAGUGUAAACUGCUUCAACAUAAUAACUAGCAUUAUAUCCUGUGCUAGGGAAUUACAAAUAGUUAGAAUAAUUCAAAAUUUUUUGAGCAAAACAAAAAAAUAAUAAUAAUUUUGGAAUAAAGUAUUUAGCAAUUUGCAAUUUAAUUUUUGUAUUUUGUACAACUCUUUGUAGUGUGGUAAUAUGUAGAAAAAGAAUUUGAUAGCGUUUUAUUUGUUUUUUAAAUUUUAAAGUGGUAAUGAAUGUGGUAGACAAUAGAAACUAUAGUGGAUUUUGUAGAAUUCUUCGUGAUUUGAAAAGAUAAAUUACAUGGUAUGGACUAAAUUUUAGAAGAAAUUAAAAAUAAUUGUGGACUCUAUAAAACUAGCAAGGAAAGCUUCUAUAAGCUUUGAAUAGGUGAAUAGUAUAUAGUGUAGAUAUAGAUAUGUAAAUAUUAAUUUAUUUUUGUAGAAUUGGAAGCAAUCACUUUGAAAAGAAAUUAAAUUUCAUGAAAAAAUAAGAUAUACAAAAUAUAUUUGCAAUAGUGAAACUGAUUGUUUUUGUAUAAUUUAAAAGCAUGAUGUCCUUGUUUAAUCACUUUAUAAUAAGAUAAUUAGUACAACUCCUUAUUUAUAUAAAAGGGUUGAGGAAAAAAAAUUUAUCACGUUUACAUUUAUAAGACUAUGCAUUGAUGUUUACAAGUUUAUUAUGUUAUUUGUUUAAAUUUAGAAUAUCUUAUAUAGAAAAACAUUUUUCAAAUGACAACAUAUGCCAUUUGUCAUUUGCAACUGAGGAUAAAAACAUUUUUAUCUAGGAAAAUUUAUUGAUAAGUUUUUUUUCAUUAAAUUGAUAAGUUAGCUUAACAAAAUAUUUUUCUCCCUGGAAUAUAGGGAUAAACAUUUGAACCAAACAAACUAAUAACCGAUAUAUAACAUUAAUUGAAUUAAUUAAAGAAUAAAAUAAUUCAAAAUCCUUUAAAAAAUGACGCAUGUCAUAUUAUGAUUGGAACCCUUCUGGAGAUGUAGACUGGUAAAUAGUAUAUAGUAUCGAUAUUAAUAAUAACAAUCAUAUUUUUUUUUUAAAUACGGUUUAUGUACAUGUCACCCUUUUGAAGGUGAAACCGAGCUGGAUCGGACAACUAAGGCUUUGCUUGGAUUGCUAUUUUCCGUAGAAAAAUUUCGUCAUUUUCCGUGAACACAUUUCCCCAUUACCUUUUUUCCUCACAUACAUCAAAUCGCUACAGUAAUUUUUCCAUGAAAAAUGACGGAAAAUGCAAUCCAAACGGGACCUAAGAUUUACGAAUUUGUAUUGCCAAAAUUGGAGGAUUUUGUAACACACAUGGUAAGUAUCUUGCCUUUAUUCUCAUUUGUAUUUUUAUGGCCUUUUUAUGGUUAUGUAAUUUAUUUUCUAUGCUGUCAAAAUUAAAGUACUCUAACUAGCAUUCUAAUGCUUUAAUAACAUGAGACAAAGUUGUAAAAAAUUACAAGCAAUUUUGCUUUUUUGCAAAAAUUAUUUUAGAAUUUGAGUAAAAAAAAGUUUGAUUCGGUGUUGAAAUAAGAAAAUAUAGUAAAAGUUCACAAAUAUAAAUCCCUUCAAAUUUAGAUGGUAAGAAAAAUAAUGAAUUAGAAUAAGAAAAAAAUUCUUACAAAAAAGGAAUAGUUGUUUAAGAAAUUAAUACUUGAAGAUUGAAAAUAUAAUAAAAUAUUUCUAAAAAAUAAUAGUAAAACUUGCCUCGGAGUAAAGGAUUUGGGAGAUCAUAGAAACAAAAGUCCGGUACAAUAAUAUUUCAGAUUGUGUUUAUACAAUGACUAUUUGAUUUUUUCUUUUAUUGAUGUAUUUACCUUAGUAGGGCAAGAGGCUGGUAUGCCUUAGGAAAGAUUUAAAGAGGAAUGUCAAAGAAGAUGAUUAAUCAAUUGAUAAAUCACAUUUAGAGGGACAAGAUUAGUGAAAUUUUGUUAAAAAUUUAUAGAAAUAAUUGUUCAAGUCAUUAAUACCUAAAGAUUGAAAACAUAAUAAAAAAAUCUCUAAAAAAAUAAUAAUAAGACUUGCCUCGGAGUAAUGGAUUUUGGAGGUCAUAGAAACAAAGCUCUCUAAAACAAUGGUAGUUUGUCUUGUUACUGAUGUAAUACCUUAGUCAAUAGAGCAAGAGGUUGGUAUAACUUAGUAAAGUUAUAUAAAGACGAGUGUUAAAGGUAGUGGUUAAUUAAUUGAUACUAACAUCUAUCUAUAGGGACAAAAUGAGUGAAAUUUUGUUAAGUUAUUAUAAAUAGAUAUACUUAAAACUGGCUUUGAAAAAGUUUUGGGGGGCUCCUGCCCUCUCUGCCCUCCCUAGCUUGCGUACACCUACCUACUAUGACCUUAGAUUCCUAAGGCUUUUUGGGAAUCGGAUUGUACAUUUGGUCUUCAUUAUGGAAGGUAGGGUUAUGGGUAAGACAUGUUGGGCUUGGACCUUUGUAUAUCACUUAUAUCAUCUCUUUGGAUUUCAGGUUACGACUUGUUUCAUACUUUUAGCAGUUUGGUUCUAUUUGCAAAUGGGGCUGCCCCUUCCAUUUGUCACUGUAGGAAUAGUGAAGCUUACUUAUAUACUCCACUAUAUUCCAACAAUGGCGGUAUGUAUAUUUUUAUUUUAAUUAUUGUGAUUAGCAGGCUAUCAUAUUUAAUAAUGAUUAACCUUUUUUAACAGUGAUUUUGUCUGGUCUUUUUUGGCUUGCAGGGAAUUGUGACCUAUGUACUGGUUAAUUGUGCUUAUGUUAAGCACCUGAAGAAUAAGAAAGGGUAAGGAAUAAAGAAGAGGGGAAGCUUACCAACCAGUUUCGUCUUUGUCGUUUAUCCGGAAAAAGACGUAUCAGAGUGACAGCUCUUCUUUAUCCCUAGUCGAUUAGGUCUUUCAACAUGUUGCCCUUUGUGGUACUGGAAUACUAGAUUCAUCUACUUCUUCAUCUAUUAUCCUUACCAACUUUCUUCAGUGACGGAUGUUAUGCAGGACAGUGGAGUUUUGAACGCAUAUCUAUCAUUUUGCAUGAUAUUUGAUAGGAAGAUGCUUUUCGCUUCCUACAAACAAAGUUUACUUUAAAUUUUGGUCCAUGGGCAAACUUUAGAUUACGGUUCACGGUAACUUUAAUCCGAGCAAAGAUCCUCCAUAUCAACCAUUUUCAAGAGAUCUUGUGAUUAAUUUGUGUACCACCUCGCACGAUAUGACAGGGCAUCAAAAAAAUUCAUUUACCAAGUUAAGGCGAUGGUGGAAAGGGAAACAUAUCCACACAUUUGAGAGGGCAUAUGUGCUCGUACCCAUACAUGAAAAGUAGGUUGUGCAUCACUUUCUAUUUAGUGGUGUCAUUUCUUGAGUCGGUUGUUGCACAUAAGUGGCUGUGUGCAGUGAUCUUACAUUGUGGUCUCUGCACUUUGAUUUUCAUCUCUUGAUUAAGAAUUUCUGACCUUCUAAUAUUAAUGUAUUUUGAGGUCCGGCAUGCAUUUAUUUAUUUCUUUUUGCUGCGUCUUCUGCUGGGAAGAAGGUAAAUCUUUAUCUCAACAAACAAACAGUUUUUCAGCUGUAAUUAAUUAGGUGAAUGCUGCUUACAACAGUGAAAUCACCUUGUUUGACUCGUACUUGCUGGUCAUGGUUGAUGGCACUAUGAAGUCGAGACUGGGACAUUUGUUUUCGUACAUGUCAAAAAGAAAGCAGAAACUAUUGAAGGAUGGUUUAUCAUUGUUAUAUGCAGUGGUCAUUACGGUGAAAUGUAGAAAUUGGAGACUUCUUAUGCAAAGCAAGCAUCUCUUAAGAGGCAAUAGGCAAUUCAAGUCCCUUUUUACAACAAAAUGCUGGCUGAGGUAAUCAGCAUAGUUGCCUCAUGUUGCAUUGAGAGUGCAACCAUCAAAUUACGCAUCCAAAAUUGUGAUGAUUAUCAGGUUUAAGUACAUGAAAAAUGAGUCAAAAUCACAGCAAGAAAAUGUAGGAACCUCAGCUGGGGAACUCCAAGUUCGAUAUAUAGCUUUCCACGCUCGUAUAUAUUAAGCCAGUGAAAAAGACAACACAAUUAACAAUUUUCAAUUUUCUUUACCGCAAAAUUAUUACACCAGCAACGCUAAAAUUGAUUAUUAAUCUGGCAAACAAAUCUACUGAUACUGUAGCAUCUCAAUGGCCUAAAUCUGGAAGAAAUAAUCAAGUCGCUCCAAGGUAGAGCACCUUAUGCCAUAUCUCAUAUCCUUGUCAAGUUGUAACCGGUGAACGCCAGGGCCCUGUCAAAUGAUUUUGACUUGCAAACUCUCGACAACAAAUUGACAAGUUAGAACAGCAUUUCAUAGAAAUAGUACAAACUAGGAACUUCAUCAUAAUACAAAUGCUCGAGCUAGAAAGAGCUGGAUUUGGAAAAUUUUCGACACCAUUGCAUGGAAAUUUGUAAUAAGAUACAGGCCUGAAACAUUUACCUCCGCAUGCAAGAUAGUCAACGAACAAAGAACCAUAGCUAGGCAAGGAAAAGGAAAGGGAGGGACCAACAUGAUAUUAUUGGCAUGCCCGGAAUUGGAAAGGAUCUUAGUCCAAAGCCUCUGAAACCCUUGGCUCAAAAAUAGAACAAAUGGAGAAAAAAAAAAAAGAGAGAAAGUCCAUGACCUCAGCUGAACAGGUCAGAUCCAUUCAAGGACAAGGAAAAGAAAUGGAGGAACCACAUGAAACCAUGGGCAUGCCUGGCCUCGGUAAGGAUUCUCUCCAUCCAAUCUUCAAGAUUAAAAAAUUUAAGAUCGAAAAUUAAAAAUAAAAAUAAAAACCAUAAAAAACCAACGCAAAAGCAAAAGAUAUAAACAAAGAAAGAUAAAAAGGUUCCUUUCCAAGCCAGGCGAUGCCCACAAUUUCCUGCAGAUCUAGCUCCGUUUCCACCUUACCCGUUUGUUGCUGAGCUCCAAUAUCACCCUCUGUACCAUAAGUUCAGGUAAAAAAAAGGCUAAAAAAUAACGAAUUUACACCAAGUUUAAUGAGCCGCUCCUUUUUCUUCCUUCUUUUUUUUUCCCCUCACUAGAAGAGAAAGUUAGCCUAAAGAAACUAGCAGCUGCAAGAGCCAAGAGGGGAGGACGGGCAGGGAAAAAAACCCUAAGAGAGAAGCACUGAAUCGGGUCUAGCGACUUUCUGUUUCAUCGUUCCACACCUUUUAUAAACUUUUCCCCUCCAGAAGUCCAAAGACUGAGG
Molecule: long non-coding RNA, 74615 nt
Filed under: Coffea arabica (coffee)
Lineage: Eukaryota; Viridiplantae; Streptophyta; Magnoliopsida; Gentianales; Rubiaceae
Description: long non-coding RNA (CARA_LNC007954)
Source: RNAcentral